RNAcentral lists this long non-coding RNA (75499 nucleotides) under Ananas comosus (pineapple). Its description in RNAcentral is "long non-coding RNA (ACOM_LNC016777)". The record is from RNAcentral. Lineage: Eukaryota; Viridiplantae; Streptophyta; Magnoliopsida; Poales; Bromeliaceae.
AAAACUGAAGUUAUGCCUCUCUAUAAUUUAUUUGAAUCUUGUCAAAUAGCAAAGCAUGUUAUCUGGAAAAUAAGAGAUCAUAGUAGAAUGAGCUCUCUAUCUAGACAUAUUAUAAGACCCCCAAAAUUGCAUGUGUUAAUUCUAACAUGUAUUUAAGAAAUUUAGUCUAUUUAAGAAAUUAGGCCCUAUGGAGAUCAACAAUAAGAGAUCAGAUUAUUAUAUAAUUCCUUCAUUAUUAGAUUAUUAUGUUGGUAUUAAUCGCUAUUAACAAUAAUGUUGAUUACGACUUAACGUAGACGCAUUAUGCAUGUCUUAGUAACAUUUCAGGAUCCUUGCAAUCUUUUUUAGAAUCCAAUGAUUUAGUAAUUACGCUCGCUUUAAUUAAUAAAGCCGUGGUUAGAUACCGAUGACUAUGAUCACUUUGACAUGUACAUUGAAUUAGAGGGUCAGUUAUCAUCAUUUAAUUUGGAUAAGUAAUAUCUGGGCAAUAGUAACAACCAUUAGCAUGGUAUUACUAAACUGGUUGUAUGACAUUUGAAUGCAAUUGACCUUUGGAUUCCUAAUUAGUAGUUUCUGUCACAAGCUUGAACUUUUUGCUUUUAAGAAUUUCAUUGAGGUGUUAUUCCUUUCUCCUUUCGGUGGUUGUCACAAUCCAAUUAUUAAGCCUCUUUUUAUUUCUCAUUUUUUUCUUUAUUCUUCACUUUAUUCUUUUCUUUAAUCUUAAUUGAUUAAAGAAAAGAACAAUUUAAUUUUGUUCUUUUUUUUAAUUUGUUACUCUGAUCAAUUUAAUUUAUUAUUAUUUUUUGGGACACUUUUGUGUAAGUGUCCUAUCUAUGUCCAAAGCCUCUUUAAGAAAAAAAAAAUCUAUAGAUGUAUGAACAGCAAACAUCUAUAAUUGAUGGAAGCAGAGUUGAAAGAAAACGCAUUUCUUUCAACUUUGCUUCCAUCAAUUUGUUUCAUUCUUCAAGCAACGUCAUUUCACUUAUUAAUUCAGAAAUUUUAUUCUGUUCAAAGGCGUAAGAAGUAAAACAUUCUUCAUCUUUUCCUGAACCAAGAUUCCUGUAGAGAAAACAAUCAUUCAUAGGAUAAGGUAUUGGUGUUUAGAAAUCAAAUUAGCUUCCACUUCAAGGCCUUUGAAGAUCUUUGCUAUCUACUAGUAAAUGACUAUAUUUUUAACUAGAGAACCUAAAAAUUCCUCAACUAGUUUAUCAUGCUUACUCUGCCACUUCAUCUUAAAUCCAAUUCAUAUAACUUAGUUGGGGGAAAUUGCACUAUCUGGUUACUGAACUGGUGGUGAAAUUUUGUUUAUAUUAUUAGACUUUGAUCUGUUGCAAUUGAGUCAUUGGACUCCAAAUUUCAUUUAAUUUGGUCACUCCAUCAAACUCAGGUUAAUGGGUUAAUAUCUCUAGUGUGGAUUGUGGAAUAGUGCGUCGGCUGGUUCGGUUGCCGCUUUAUCUUAAAUAUAAUAAUGUUCAGCUUCAUCUUAAAUCUAGUAGUGUUUAGCCAUCAAGUUCGAUGAUUGACGGUGUAAUUUUAAUUACAUUAUUAUUACGUUGGACAUCACUGUUUGAUUGCGUUUUCUUAACAUCCGUGAUGAGUUAUCGUUCUUCCCAUCUAACUAAUUAGGGACAUAUUUUCUGGUCAUUAAACUGGUAAUUAAGUGGGCCUUAUUUGUUGGAUCUUUAUCUCUGUUCUGGAGCUGCUGUAGAGUUUAUAUCAAUAACUAGUUUCAUCUUUGCUUCUCCAUUUCUGUUACGACGUUAGCUUAUGGUGUGAGAAACGUGAGAAUUGCUACUCUCUGUUCUUAGCCAUUUCUUUCUUCGUUCCUCAAAAGUUCUUUAUUGACAAGGGGUAUAUUUGUGGAACUACAUGUUGUCUGAAUUAUUGAAUGAAUGCAGGCUGAUGAGGACGCUGCAGACGCUUCGACUCUAAUAGGAAGUAAGCUAUAUGGAUGACUCUUUUCUUUUCUGUGCUUGAGAUACCAUCAUUCUAGUUCAAUAACAAUGUUUAGCCUAACCCUGCUAUAUCGCAGUUCCUCUAAAGACGUCGCACGUGAAAUUUGUUCUUCACAAGGAAUGCCUGUUUGGUCAACGGUUUCUUCUCGUUGGCGAUGACUCGAAUAUCAGUUCUUGGGAUCCAUCAAAAGCCAUUCCUUUGGAAUGGUCUGAUGGCCAUGUGUGGACAACUGAGCUGGUAAGUUUAAGAGAUCCCAUACUCUCUACUGCUUAACAUUAUUAGUUCAAUUACUUUUUAAGUAUCUGAUCUGGUACUUUCAUUCAGGAUUUACCAAUCAAAGUGAUAGGCUGAUAUUAUUACUGUGAGAUUCUUCAAUAAUCAGUAUGAUUUUUUUUUGCUUGUCUUCAAAGUGCAUGAAGUUUGGAAUAUUGAUCUAAAAAAAUAAGGACUAAAUGAUUUCAUUAAGUAUUUAAAUGAUGAUUUUAAGCUUAAUCAUGUUGUGAAUAUACAAUAUGUAGUAAGACAUACAAACGAUGUUUUGGAUCAUUGUAAAGCUAGUAGCACAUUAAGCUUAAUUCUGUAGGCACUUCUCUACUCUUAAUUGGAUACCAGUUGGUUGCAAUGAUUGUGAUACAUCAUGGUUAUGUUACAGAUGCUUCUUCUGAAUAUAGGAUUUAUAUAUGAUGUAAAUUUUUUGAGGUUGGGGAACUUGUCGGCGAACUCUAAUGACUGAAAUGACGUGAUGCUUAUUUCUAAUAUGGUAGAUUAAUGGAGGGACUUCGUUAUUAGGUGGGAAAAACUAUACGGGUCAGUAUCCGCAUCUAAACUUUUAUUUUCUGCCAGGGAACUUUCUCACUUCAUAGCAACUGGAAAACUUCACUGCAAGAUCGACAAAGUCGCCGACAUUCUAGAAACUAACCGACCUGACGCCAGAAAUGCUUUCUACCGGGCAACUAUCAAGCAGGGCGAUUUCUUGCUCAACCGCAUCCAGAAGCUAUCAUGAGUGAUCGAUUUGUAAACAAUCUUUUGUCCCUUAAACUUAAUAUGGUGCUGAAAUUUUCUUUCACUUAAUAUGGUGCUGAAAUUUUCUUUCACUUAAUAUGGUGCUGAAAUUUUCUUUCAUCUUUUCAUACAUCUCUCUAUGAAGCUCCUUAUCCGCAAAUUCAGUUGACAUUUGUUUGGAUAGAAAUUUCUGGGUCGAUGCGUAUCGAUUUGAAUUCUUAUAUUCCUAUUUGUCAUUUUGGCUAAAAUUAGCACACAAGAUCUGAUUUCUUGCGGCAGCUUAUCUAUAUUGUUUUUUCAUGUUGGUAGUGCAGUUCAUUCGGUAGUACUUUUUACUUGAAAUUGAAUUUAUUGGCAGAUGUUUAGUGCUGGCUCGAUUAAACUAACUGAUAUUUCUGCACGUACUGACCUAAUCUAAGGCAAGGUGAGUAUUUAUUCGCAAAAUAUGUCUUAUAUUUCUUGAAAUUAAGAUGUCUUUCGCUCCUUUCAGCUCUAACUUAAUUGGUUUCAUGUUUUCUAUCUAUCUUUUAACUGAAUUGAUAUUUGAGGGUAAUCUCUUUUGUCCUUUUGAACCAUAAAAUGUAGGAUAUUUCAGGACAAUCUCUUUUGUUCUUUCGAAUCAUAAAACUUGUCCCAAAAAAGAGUUCACCAAUCUUAGAAUGUUAUCCUGGUUUCAAAGUUUUGGUGGUCAAAGUUCCUAAGUUCAUAUAUGGCGGGGGACCACAACUUCUGUUGUUUCUGAUAAAGUGAUACAAUAUUAAAUGAUACAAUGUGUCAUAGUUUUUUGGCUCUUUUGUUGUUCUCUUUUUAUUGGUGCCAUAUGCUUCAUGAGUUGUGGUAAAUUAUUAAGUGCAAUAGAUUGGGGAGCCACCAUCUUAAUUACUACUUGUAUACGAAAUGGAGAUGCAUGUAUUAAAUUGCAUUUCGAGUCUGAUAAUCUGUCACCUUUAAAAUGUCUUGCUCAUUGUUGGAUAAUGUCUUUUUUUAAGAUGAAAUGAUUAUCUAAUACUAGAAAAUUUAUUCGUUUAGGUUUCAGACGCAUCCAGCGCUCGUAAUAUGCAUCAAUAAUCUCGUUGCCCUUCAGGUAAAAAUUAAACUUAUCUUAAUUGGUUUUCAUGUUAAAAGAUUGUUGACUAAUCUUUUAUUAAUUUCAGUAUUGUUGAAUUUGUAGGUUCAACAUCUUAAUUGCCGAGCUCACUAAGACUGGAUCUGAUAUGAUAUUAUUAGUUUUUGUUUUUAUUUCUCUUUCUCUAGGGUUAAAAAGCUAGAAAUUGUUGGUACUGUGAUUUAGUGACUAAAUACUCAUUUAAAGAUAUAUGGAUAGUACUGUGAGACAUUUUGGUAUAUAUGACUACAAAACUUCUUUUAUAUGCUUUCUUUGUUAAUGCAAAUCAAGCCGAAUAAAAUUAAAGAUAUGCUUGAUGAUAAUUAUUGUGGAGUGGUAUUACAUUUUAAAAACUGUGAUGCAUCAAGAAAAAAUAGGAUAUUUUUUAAAAAAUGGGACAGUUAUAAAGUGUCGUUGAAAUUUAAAAAAAAGUGUUGCUAGAAUAUUAUUUUGCAUCACUUUUAUGUGCUGCUAAAAGCUUAAAUAAGUGUCGGUAUAUUAGUAGCACUCUUUUUAGGUUAUACCGACACUCUUAAAAAGUGUCACUAUAUACCUAGUGACGCCACAUAUAGCAACACUUUUUAAAAGUGUCGGUAAUUUAACCAGCAGCACUUUUUCUGACCUGUACCAACACUUAAAAGUGUCGUUAUAUACCAUUUUUGUUGUAGUGCCUCUACCCCUAGGCUAUGCCGACUCGGGGUACCGCUAUCUCUGAUGUCUGGGGUAGGGCGCUAUCUACGGAGCUAUGCUCUUGCCUCGCGCCGUCGCGCCGCUCACGUGCGAACCUGAAACACCCCAAAGCAACGUGGGGUGAGAACCAACUCCAUGGUUCCCAGUGGGUACGGCCACCCAAAGGAAAAGCUCGACCAACAGGUCCGAAGGAGGCAAACUGCAGGUUAGAUAAGAAAACAGAUAGAUACGAUAUCUAGAUUAUGCAGCUAACAAUACCAUACUUUGCCUCACUCAUGCAACAAUGUCAUGCAACAAUGCAAGUAAUGCAAAAACUAGUAUAUCACCCGAUACUACUUUCUAUCUCAUCAUCUAGUUCACAUCAAACUACUCUCUAAGGUUUCUAUUACCCUAGAUCCAUUUCAUCUAUCACUAGCCUUUAAGGUUUCCUCUACCUUGUCCAAGCUAGCCACCCGACUCUGCCUCGAGUCAAUCAACUGCGGAGUACCGCAUUCUGUCCGGCUCGAGGUGAAGGAACCCUCACAUACACCUCGGCCUUAAAUCCACUCAACAUAUACUAUGCCUCAAUGAACAAUAAAUGAGCUACUACCUAGCAUAUGAUCUACCACAUGGUACUAGGCCUCAAUAAUCACAUGAAUGAACGAGUGACUACAUAGUGCAUUGUGCAACUAUGCCUCGAUAAUCAGAAUGAACGAGCUACUAUAUAGUAUGUCGUGCAACUAUGCCUCGAUAAUCAGAAUGAACGAGCUACUACAUAGUGCGCCGUGCAACUAUUCCUUGAUAGUAUCAAAUCUCAUGGCCAACCCGAAGGAUACUGCCCAAGGCCAACCCGAAGGUUGCUACCUCGACUCACAUCUCAAAUCUCGCUAGUGGGGAUAUACCACCCCAGACCCGUCUGCGGGACAAUUAUGUUUGCCCCAACGCGACUACUAUUCCGGAGCUCGCUGGUAAUCAAGUUACCCAUAAUGCGACUACUGCUUCGGAGCUUGCUACUUGAGUGGAGCGACCACGCCAAGGUUACACAGACUAUGUGAGUAUGAUCCAAUCCCCACGCUGGAGGAUACCCUAUCCACUAGGACCACAAUGCCUCAACUGCACUAAUGCCAAAUGCAUAAUAUCCACAACAUGACAAUCGGAAAAAAUCUACUAUCCCUAGGUUCAAAUGCCAUAGUGUUCCACUACACUAGAUUUGAUGCAAUACGCCACAACUAGGGAAACUCACCUAUUCCCUAUGCUCAAUGCUAGUGUUCUUUACACUAUAUUCAAAUGCCACUCACCUAGGCUUAAUCAACAAUAGGUUCAACACCUUUAUCACAUAACCUAGGUUUAACUAAUUCUAGGUUCAAUCCUCAAUCUAUGUUCCUCAAACUAGGUUUAAUGUCAUUCUACCUAGAUCUUGAUUCUAGGUUCACUUGUUCGACCAGGUCAAUGCCACUCGAUCUAUCCUAGGUUCACGACACUAGGUUCACAUGCCACCUAUGUUCUUUAACACAAGGUUUAAUGCCACUCGAUCUAUUCGACACCUAAUUGUCCACAUCGAGUUUCUAUAAUUAUUCACAUUAUCAACAUGCAUAUUAUACUUAGCCUCUUCUCAUUAUGCCACUAUGCACUCUUCUAGCAUGUAGAUUAACAUGUCCAUAUGCAAUAUCAUCUAGCAUGUACUUUCAAUACACAACAUGCAAUUAUCAACUAGCAUACCAUAUAUUCAUAUGCUCUAACACAUCUACAACAUCAUCAUGCAUAUUCUAUCUAUAUGCUUUAACACAUUCAUGAUGCCAUCAUGUACCUAUUCUAAUUAUGCCCACCUGCAUAUUAUACUUCAUCCAAGGUAGCUAUUACAUAGUAUCACAUGCAUUCACCCUAAGCAUUCAUCUAUGCAAUCAACUACUAUUAUGCAUAUAUAUGCAUCAACGAGAAAGCACAUUUCUCUUCGACAUGUAGGCGACCUAGUCGCUUCGGUAAACACAAGCCACCUCAAUUCGCUCUCUGAUUGCUUGUAGUCACUUGCAAUCGGCCUCCCGCGGCACUCGGCACCUGGUUUGGCCCGAUCUUGCAAUCGCCCUCCAACCGUGCGCCGAAUCGCGGCUCCGAAAAUUAUAGGUCUAUGGUUUACCGCCACGGUGCUCCAAAUCCGUUUUCAUGAUUUUUGGACGUCGCCUCGGCCCUCCAGGCGUAAACGAAGCUAAAUCGUCAGUUUCUUCAAUAUCUUUACAACGGCUCGACGAAUCGUCGAACCGACUUCGCCAACGCGUUCAUGUGCCUAGCAAUUAGGUUAACAGAGGGUCAAUUGAGAUCAAACCCUUAUAUAAACAAAAACCCUCUUUAGAACCCUAGGUUUGCUACUAUUGCAAGAAACCUCAUUUAAACUCUAGAUUCAAGCAAUUAGCAACCUAUUAGCAUCUAAGGGUUCCAACAAUACCAAUUCCAAGGUAUAAAAACCUAUCUCUAAGAAUCUACCAUAAAAGCUCCUUGAGCUUACCUCCAAAAGCUUGCUCCAAGCUUGAGAAGAAGAAGAUGAAGAUGAUGAUCCCACUCCUUUGCUUCUUCUCCACCACUUGCUCCUCCAAGAUCCACCCUUUUUGAGAGAGAGAGGGAGAGUUUUAGAGAGAGAGUGUGUGUUCUUAGGGUUGCAAGGUGUGAGGGAGAGAGCAAAUGAGCUCUCUAUAGCUCAUAUACACUCACAUAAUGCCCAAAAGUGCAAAUAAGCCCCUCAACUUUCAUUUUAGUACACAGCCCUCGCGGGGCCAAUUUUUGUAUAAGGGACUGGUCCCUUAUACAAAUAGGGACCGGUCCCCGAAGGUCCAGAAUCUCAACAUUUAGGACUUAGCCAAAUUUCCAGCUUUUUCACCGUUUAGCCAAAUUUUUAGCUUUUUCACCGUUUCUUCUCCGUUUUCGCUCAUUUUCGCUCGUUUGACCUCCGAUUCUUUUCAAAUCGAACCGAGACUCUCCAAAUAUGUUUUCGAGCGUGUUUUCAUCAUCUUUUCAUCCGCGCUAAUGCCGGAUUUAGUCCAUGGUCCAACAUAACCUUUUGAGUCCCGUUUUCGCGCCUACGCGCACCAAAUCGCCCGAAUGCUCCCGAACUUCACCAAACUUUACCGGAACCUUUCAAAUGGCUCUCCAACCAAUAUAAACCGUAACUUCAUUAUUUUAGAAGUCCAGUACCUUACAGGCCAACUAGGCCCUAAAUCCCCUCCAAUCAUUACCUGAUUUAGGUAAGGAGGUAGUCUUCGCAAACAACGAGAUUAAACCCUCAAGAUGCACCAUUUCGUGCUCAAAUUCCCAAGGCGAGUCGAUUCAGCUCGCGCGACCAAGGGUACAAAGUACCUCACAAUCACUCUACAUCAAAUAGGGCCAAUUAUUUGUUGGCACGCAAAACCCUCUCACAAGGCAGGGUGUCCGAAACGACACACCCGAUUAUCUAAUCAUCCUACAUGCAUCGAAAAAUAAUCAAUGCUACACAACUCGACAAACAGCCGAUCAAGGGAUGCAAAUGAUGCAGUCAUCACAAACUUGCUCAAAUUCAAAUAGCAUUAAAUAACAUGCUACCUACAGCAAUCAUCUCAGUCGCCACACCCAACUCCAGCAAUUCCGUGGGCAUACAUCCAUUGGGAGUCUCUCGUGUCGAGGUCGGUGCAGAUGCCUUUGCUAACACGCCAUUCCCCGGGCACUCUAAUCGAAAAUGGCCCGCCUGGCCACACGAGAAACACUUUUCUCUCCGCCGAGGACACUGUGGGGAAACAUGCGGACCUCUGUAAAUCACACAUUGUAUUGGCGGUCGACGAUGCAACGUCCUUUUCCCAGCAAAAGGAUCACGUCCUCGAAAUCGAUUCUUCUUCAAUUUCCUUGAUGAUCCACCAACAUGUAACUUGUCACUCUUGGUGGUCUUCUUUGCCACCCCAAUAACCUCCGCGCCUCUCCCCGAAGUCAAGGCGUGAUCCGAAAUCUCAUGGAAUUUCUUAAGAUCAGCCGUCUGCUGAAUCAACAGGCUCUCCAAUCGUCUGAUUCUCUCGUCCUGUCGGUGCAAAGCCUCGGCUUGAAGUAGCGUCACGCUCGACUGUCACUCCACCACGCCAACUAAAGUGGCCAACUGCUCUCUCAACUCCCGAACCUCGUUGGAUCGGGGGAAUGCAGGCUUCUCCAGCUCAGUCGCCUCGGCUGCCUUAGAGCGUGUCAUCGACAUCACAAGCUGCAACAAACAUAACAAGCAUAGGUUAGAACAACCCAUGGUAUCGCAGCCCCACUCGUAAAUGCAAAGUCCCAAUCAUGCGAAAGUAAUGAAGUGACCUCCCACUAUUCCUCAAUAUCUCGUUGUCGGCCGCCAACGUGAUCUUGCAAGGACAUAGAUGUUAUUCACUUCGAUCCAACUCCAACACCUUUGGAGUUUUAAAUAUGACCGAAUCAUUCUUUCGCCCACAAAUGGUCCCAAAAGACCCUGUCUCUCACAUUCCUAUCCCUUAUCGUCCAACCGGCCUAAGGUUUGCUUUGUCUCCUAAGACUGAACCCUAGGCUCUGAUACCAUAAUAAUCUGUCACGCUCCGGGCCGAGCGGAAGCCCGCCGGCACGUGCACAGACCCGCCGUGUACACCAAACAACCACAAUGCACACAAGGCGUCUACUAAAACAGGAAAUGAACACAGAAAAGUCCUAACAGGACUAUCAGAACGAGUAAUAUAAAAUCACUACUGUUCUAACACAAGGAGAUCUACAAGAUAUACAAAAUGUAUACAACUAAAUCCGAAGGUCUCACAAUAUCUCUAAAACAAUUACAUAAUACAUCUUUCCACAAGAUGCAAAAAGAAAGAUGAUGUCGGGUUCCUCUAAAUAUCUCCGUAGGGGCUCUAGCUAGUCGCUAACCCCUUGCCACGAUUUCUAGCCUCUUCCGCUGCGAAAGGCUCUGAAAUAAAACCUACAACAAAUGGGGGGUGAGAACUAUUAAACAAUAGUUCCCAAUGGAUAAGCCGCCGAGAGUGACGAAAUACACCACUAGGUCAACUGAGGCAUGCUAUAAAAGGGUAAGUAAACAACAUAUAUAUAUAGCAAGUAAAAUUAACAAGUUUAAACAUAAUCAUGCUUCCACUACAAGAUUAACUAUCAUGUAUAUGAUAUUCUAAUUACAUAUGUUCAAUUAUAUGCCCAUGUCGAUUAUAUGCAUAUUCAACUAUAUGCCAAUGUCAAUUUACAUGCAUAUUCAUAUGUCCAUAAUGCUACAAGGGUAAAUUAUGCUUUACAUUGCUAAUCUUCCAUGCAUCUAUACUAAUCAACAUAGAUGUAAACAUACUACUACUAGAGUGUCCAUGCUAUGGAUGACUAACAUAAGGUCCACAAAAUGCACUACCAUGCAUGUCAACUAGUCCAACCAAAAUGCACUAUCGCUACUAAGUAGUAGUUCCAUAUUUGGCUUUAGGUAUCAUAGUUCAAUCCUCGUCAAUGGAUCUACACAUGUGUAGUCCAGCUGCGCGCCUACCUAAUUGCGGUGGUAGCGCCAACAUUUCCUCGCAGGAAUGAGCCUGUCUCACACAGACCCAGUAGGUACCAAUCCCGCACAGGGCGAGUAUGUAUCGCAUUUAGGUCAACUCCGGAGUGCCGGCUUGUGGGGAGCGACCCUCACAAGCAUGUGGCGAUGAGCACAAAUGGCAUGGCAAGCGUGAUUAAUAGUAAUCUAGCUCUCGGUCAUCAUGCUAAAAUAUAGAAUAAAUACAAACGACCCAAAGGUCCAAUAUAGUAUCACAUUGUCAAGGUUUGUCAUUUACUAAUUCAAAUGUCAACUACAUGACGUUCAUGUUUACUAAGCCAAGUAUAAUCAUAGUUCAUAAGCACAUAACACUUUGUCAUUAUGCUAGGCUAGGAUAGUUCACAAAUGCCUCAAUAUCUCAAAUGAGAGUCACUAUAGCUAAGGGAAUCACUUUCUUAUACUAUAUGCAAUAGGUUUUACAAGAUAUUUAUAAUGUCCAAGAGGUAUGUCAUGCAUAAAACUUUCUACCAAUGGCUCACUUCAUGGAGUAAUAACUAUCAUGCAAGCGAUUUCAUACAAUUAAUGCUAUUAUGCAUUAUCCACCUUGCUAUUCGCCCAAGGCGUUCCAAUCAUUAUCCUCUAUGUCUACACAUGAAUAAUAUAUCGAUCCCUAGAUCGAUUGCAAUAUUUACAGAUGCACAUACAGUUGUUCAACUAGAUUAGAUUAUCAAACUUAGUUUCAUAUAGACCGUAUCAUGCACUUAUGUCACAAUGUAAAAUCUAUCUUGUCUACACAAUUUUCUCAAGCAAGCAACUAAUUGCUAAGUCCUUUCAUUUCACAGUCAGAUCAUGAAGUGAUGCUAUCGAUCUCAAAGUCAAUACAUUGUCAUAAAUCAAGCCCUAGGCAUCCUAACUAGAUUAAAUACAAUAUGCUUAGCUUCAUGUUUAGCCUUGUUAUUCACUAGGUCACGUGUCACAUUUCCUUGUCUACACAAUAUAUUGUUCAUCAUGUGAGAUAAUCACUUUGCUAAACCAUUCACUGGAUACCCCCUAAGAGUUAUACCAUCAUUCUGUUAGGUCCUAUGUGUUGGCAGUUUCGUGGGUCGAGUCGAGUCUUGAAGAAGUUCGGAGCGAAAUAUUGAAGAUCGAAGAUCCAAGACUUCGAAGAAUCGGAAAGGACGCAAAACACGUAAAACAUGAAUACACGAUGCGUAGGUAAGCUUUAAAUCUUGUUAUGGUGAUUCAUACUUAAUUAUAGAUCUUAGAAUCAUAUUUUCAAGUUGUAAUGAUUAGAAAGUUUCUAAGAGUUUGUAAAAUCCAAAACAAUGCAUUUUCAGCGAAAAUUGCAUUGCUGUACCGGUACAGCUUUUCUGUCCAGGGUACAGCCAUCAACGUUGCGCAGGAAGUUUGAUGGUUGUUCCGGGUACAAGCUUCAUGCUGUACCAGGUACAGCCUGUUCCGGAACAAGCAACAGCCUAUCCAGGGUACAGAAGCUUCGCAAAGAAAAAUCUUCCGUCAUGGUGUACCCUGGACAACAUUCCUUGUUCCGGUACAAGGUGCUGUUUUUGGAAAAGAAACUUUCUAAUUCGACUCCAAUUGAUUCUAAAGUCUAUAAAUAACUAUAGGGGUUCUCUAAUUAAUUAAGCAUCACGAAAAUACAUAUUUGAGAAAAACCUAGAGGCUCGAUUUCCAUUCAAACCUAUUUUCCACAAAUUAGCCUCUUUAGAUCAAAUCGAGAUAUCGUUUCGCAUACUCAUAUGUCGAUUUGAUCUCCGCUUUGCUUGGAGUUCUAUUCCCUGGUUUUCUACAAUACUCCAAAGGCGAAGGAUCACCUAUUCAUGAUAUUCUUCAUGGUGGCGUCGUGGAUUCGGCGUAUUUGACGGCGGUUCGUGAUUCGGAUCUGGGCUCGGAUUUCGAGUGGCGUCGUGGAUGUCGCGGUGAUGAAGCUCGUGAUUGAAGUGAAGGCGUUCGUGGACUCGCACGUGAGGCGUGGACAACCGGAGGGUAGCGCGAAGAUUCAUAAGAGGUUAAGAGAGUAGAGUCCGUGGAGUCGGUAAUCACUUGUAAUCUUUUCUCUAGUGAAUUUUUUUCGCGUGUUGGUCCCCGUGGGUUUUUCUCCAAGUUGAAGUUUUUCCCACGUAAAUCUCGGUGUGCUUUUUAUUUUCCGCAUUUAUUUUUUAUUGCAUCGAGAUUUGUGGUUUUUGGCCGUUCACUAUAUUCACCCCCUCUAAGGUGAUAGAUACAAUCUAGAUAGAUCCUUGGGCUCCUCAAACUUUCAUUGGUAUCAGAGCGGGAUCUAGAUAUAUUGAUAUCUAAUGGCCGAAGAAGGUAACAUUAAUCGACCACCGCAUCUUCGACGGCAACGAAUUAUGCCUAUUGGAAAGUUCGCAUGAGAGCUUCUUCUAAUCGCAAUCGAUGAGCGGGUAUGGAAAGCUAUUGAAUUCGGAUGGCAAUCCGAUUCUACCGAAGUUGUCGAUGGGCUGCUACCGUCNNNNNNNNNNNNNNNNNNNNNNNNNNNNNNNNNNNNNNNNNNNNNNNNNNNNNNNNNNNNNNNNNNNNNNNNNNNNNNNNNNNNNNNNNNNNNNNNNNNNUGCUUCCAACCAUCCCAGCAGUUAUCAGUAUGGCCGUUGAGAAAAGAAUACACACUUCCAGCUCGAGCCUUUCCUUGUGGGUGGAGCGACCAAACCCAUUUAUCUGGGCCUUCACCAAGCUGCAAGUUAGUAAUUGCAUCAACUAAAUCUUCUCCAACUAAACCUUCAAUGGAGUUAUAACACCAUUCCCCAUUCUCAAUGAUUUGGUUAAUAUGUUGGACUUUCUCCCCAAUAUUAGUCGCAAUGAAAGUCGGCUUUUUGCUGAAGGGUGUAGUGAAAAGCCAAGGGUGUUCAAGAAAAUUGGUAUUCAACCCAUCAGAAAUGGAAAUCUGCAAUCCCAAUUUGAUAGCUUGUACAGUAUAGUUUAGGGCCCGCCAAGCCCAAGAAGUAGUAGUGAGCUUAGGAUUCUUCCAGGGAUCAAGUUCCCCAUAUUUGCCCUUCAUAAUCCUCACCCAAGGCAAAUUGAUAUUGUUCAGGAGCUUCAAAGCAUUACGGGCCAUAAAAGCUUCCCGAGAUUUUCGAAGAUUACGAAAAUUUAGACCACCCUCAGUAAGAGGCUUGGUAAUGUUAUCCCAAGCAAUCAAAUGCAUGCCCUUCUUACCGCCAUGUUUUUCCCACAAAAAUUUUCUAAUAAUUUGGGUAAUUUUGUCAACUACUGAGUCAGGAAUCCAAGAAGCAGUCAUCCAAUAGUUAGGUAUGGCCGUCAAAGUUGCUCUAAUUAAGAUGGCACGCCCCGCUAGGGAGAGUGCAUUUUUUUUCCAGGAAGUUAAUUUGGAUCGAACCCUUUCCACUAGGAAAUUAGAUUGCUCUACCUUAACUCUUUUUCCAGAGAUUUGAGAACCCAGGUACUUAAAAGGCAUCGUCCCCUUGGGAAGAUUUAGCCAUCGAGUAACCAUAUUUUUCAUUCUAGCCGAUAGCCAAUCUGGGAGAUACAAGGCAGACUUAUCCUUGUUCACCCUCUGCCCCGAGAGGCAUUCAUAUUUGUGCAGAAUAGCUUCGAUGCCUCGACAAUUCCGUCUAGAGAUAGCACCGGUAAUAAGUAUAUCAUCGGCAUACAUAAGGUGGCUAAGGUAACUAUUGUCCCCAACUGGAAUUCCAGUAAAACUUCCACAAGAUUGGGCCUCAUUAAGAAGGGAUGUAAGUACCUGGGCAAUCAAGAUAAAGAGGUAAGGUGAGAGGGGGUCCCCUUGCCGCAAACCCCCAGCAGGUUGGAUCCAAUCCGAAGCUUUACCAUUGAUAAUAAAAGCAUACGUAGGAGAAGAAAUACAAGCCAUAAUCCAAUUAACCCAUUUAAUAGGAAAUCUCAUAAGGGAUAGCACAGUAGUCACAGAGUCCCAUCUAACCCGGUCAUAAGCUUUCUCCAUAUCAUAUUUAACAAUCAUCAUCGGGUGGUCUUUUUUAUUAUUCACCAUAGUAUGCGCAAGCUCUUGAGCGGCUAGGAUAUUAUCAGAAAUAUCCCUGCCCGCCACAAAAGCAGCCUGCUCAUACCCAAUAAGCGUAGGUAGCAGGGGUUUCAAUCUAUUAACCAGAAUCUUGGAGAUGAUUUUAUAACACACAUUACACAACGAGAUAGGUCUAAAAUCAGCCACUCUACUAGGGUUCUCUUUUUUCGGCACAAGAGUAAUAUAAGUCUGACCCCAUCCCUUCGGCAAAUUAGCAUGCAGAAAAAAAUGCUUAAUUGCUUUGCAAAGAUCCAAACCAACAAUAUCCCAAUAAUUUUUAAAAAAUUCAGCUUGUAAACCAUCUGGCCCAGGAGCCUUGCCAUUCGGCAUAGACCACAAGGCUUGCUUGAUCUCUAAGUCCUCUAUCGGUUUGAUGAGGACUUCAGCAUUUUCCUGCGAGAUAGCAGGCAAAUCAGGCCAACUGACAGGCAUAGAGUCAGUUCGAGUAUUUGGCAUCCAAAGAGAAAGAUAGAAACGACAGAACUCAUUAGUAAUAUCGACCUGAUUAGUAGCAUGGACCCCAUUAGAACAUUUAAUAAAAUUAAUACGAUUUCGAUGUCUACGAAUACGUGUGGUGUUGUGAAAGAACUUGGUGUUAAGGUCCCCAUUCUGGGCCCAUCUGAUGCGUGCUUUUUGCCACCAUUUGGUAUUAAUCUGUCUAAGCAGCGCAUUGUGCUUAUUGUAUAAGGAAUUUAGCUUCACAAUAUCAUUCUGGGAUAUAGAACUAUUAGCCUCAAGGCUCUCAUAAUAAUUAAUAUCCGCCGCCGUGCUAAUAAGGUUGGUUUCUAGAUUACCAACACCCUCUUUAUUCCAGUUAAGUAAAGCACGACGAAGGUUACACACCCGAUGGGUAAACGAAUGGAGGGGGUUCCCUUUGGCAGCUGACUGCCAGGUUCUUUCGACAACCUUACCACACUCAUCAUACUCAAACCAAAAAGCUUCAAAACGAAAAGGUCGCCGACCUUGGAUCUCAUCCCCCUUCACCAUGAUGAGUAAAGGGGCAUGGUCAGAGGCAGCUCUGACAAGGUGUUUGACUCUGACACCAGGGAAAAGAGAUAUCCAGUCAGGAUUAGCAAAAGCUCUAUCAAGUCUGACCCAAACCCGACUCCUUAUAUCUUGAUUGUUGCACCAAGUGAAAGCAGGGCCUUCAAAACCCAAGUCGAUAAUACCAGAAGUUGAAAUAAAUUCACUAAAAGCUCUAUUUUUGGGAGAAAAAGAGAAGGGUUUACCACCUAAUUUAUCAUCUGGAGAGCAUAUGGCAUUGAAGUCGCCGCAAGUGAGCCAAGGGAGGUUUAAUCCCCCUAUUUUCUCCAACUCUUUCCAUAGCUUACGUUGUUCUGAUAGCUUUACACUACUAUAAACCGAAGACAACACCCAUGUAGGGCCAUUGUCAAUGGUAAUGAUAGCAUGUAAAGCUUGUCUGCUCCUUUGAAUGCAGGUUACCAAACCCGCAUCAUCCCUCCAGGCCAUAAGUAUGCCUCCCGAACGACCCACCGCAUCAAUUGAUUGAAAGCGCCAAUUUCUACCCAUUGCACGAGCAAUCGAUUCAGAUCUAAUUCCUGAAACAUGGGUUUCAAGCAGAAUAAUCAUAGCAACAUUAUAAUUCUUGAUAAAAUUCCUGCAUCUAUUCUUGACAUCCUUCUUUAUCCCUCCAUUAAAAGACUCGGUCACCAAGAUACAAGUACAAAAAAGGUAUUAUAGUUAUACUCUGAUGUGAUCAAAAACAAAAGCGGGGGGAGAGAAAACUCGCCCAUGAUGGCCGAUGAGCCCGCCUCGAGCGGGGCUCUCAAACCUCCCCCCCUCACCCUCUCCGCCGACGGUGAGCUCUCUACCGGAGUACAGAUAUGCCGCCCCACAAAGGACUCGUGGCUGCUAUCGUAUCUGGGAAACGUCCUCAAGCGACAAGGGAGGCCUCAUCCCGAUGAGGUACUUGAUAGGCUUAAAGCAUCCAUACGGACUGUGUAGAGGUUGAUGAAAGCAUCCUUGAAGAGCGCGGGCACAAAUGGAAGUGGCCCUUUUUGGUAAGUUUUCUUAGGUAAGCCUCUCUCUAAACACACUUCGAAAUGCCCUGGCCAAAAUUUGCAAACAAAAAGGCUUUCCAUGUUGACAAUGACUGCAGAGGGCUUUUAUGUCUUCCGUUUUUCUAACGAGCUUGAUAUGUUUUAUGUGCUAACGGAGGUACCGCUGACUAUUAAUGGCAGGCCAUACAUUUAAUUAGAUGGAGGGACAACUUCCAACCAUCUGAUGAUGCCUCUAAAUGUGGCACGGUCUGGAUAACGACUUCAUAACCUCCCAUUUGAAUAUUUGGGAGUGUGAUCUCUAUUACCUAUAGCAGCGUAUUUCGGCGACCGCUCAGGGUGGACGAAACCACUAUUUUUGUGGAUAAGCAGAUAUGCUAGAAUCUGUGUUGAACUUGACCUAAGUAGCCUCUCUAAAAAGGGGGUCUGGUUGGGACGCCGGACCAGCGAAAAUUCGUACUCUGAUUUUAUAUGAAAUUUGCCACUGUUUUGCUAUACAUGUGGAAUAGUUGGACAUAGGGCCGAGCUAUGCCAUUUAUCGGAAGGAAGGAGGAGCCAAGUGGCUGGAGGUAAAGAAAAAAUCUACGAGUACUGAGUCAAGACCCAGUGCAGAAACCCCCAUUUUGGAGGAUGAGGCCUUUGCCCAUGGCUUACAGCUCGUCGAAGACGCCGGAGGGCGCGCCGAGAGAGCUCAACCGGGGUUCAAAACCCAAAUUUCUCAGUCGACCUACCAAAAAGAAAGACCCAGAAUGGUGGAGAGGUGAGCCUGAAUCAACCGGCCAAUGCGGUUUCCUCAAUCAAGUCGGAAACUCCAACGGUAGGGAGUCGACUUCAAAGUGAGGAUCAACAAGACAUAAGGUGUCCAGACAUUAAAUGCCCCUAAGAACUCUAUGGUGAUAACUCAGGGGCAAUAAAUGAUGUGGUACGUUCCCCCUCAAAUGAAAAAGAAACCUGCUUGGGUUUUAAUGACAGUAAUAAUGCACGUGGUAAAGGUGGCUAAAGAUAAAGUAAUCAUGCUCACCUAGAAAAGGGGCUGCCUCAACUCUGUGGCCAGGUAAGAAAUGGCCCCAACUCUUUUUAUUUGUUUGGGGGAUAACCAUGAGGUUCCCAAUCCAAUUAUCUCACAUCCAGAGACAGUGUGGUUUAAUGAGACAAGUUCACAUGGUUCCAAACCGAAAAAUCGAGUUAACCCACCAAUCCGCUAACCCCGCGAGUACUAUUUUUCCAUCUUCUUAUUGGCAGAAUACUAGUUGUGGCCCUCAAACCUUUCUCUACCAUAUGCCAAUAACCAAAUGGGAAAUCCGUGAGGGCUAUAAGCCUAGCCCAUCUCCCAUAAUGGGAGCUGUACAAGAGGUAAGUAAAGCCCUCCUAGUACAAUCGGAGGAAGGAAGAGAGUGAUCUGAAGAGAGGAUGUCGGUAUGGAUGAGGACUACAGCACGGAUUGGUCGUUGGUGCAUCGAUCAAAACGCGAGUACGUCACUUGACCGGACAUAAAAUGAUGAUAGUUCUAUGGAACUUGAUCAGGGGUCUUUCCAAAAGGGUAGAACCUCAGAGCCAUGACUCUUCCCUCUCUUUCUUUUUAUCAUGAUGCAAGAUUGUAAUUUGGAAUUGNNNNNNNNNNNNNNNNNNNNNNNNNCAUAUAUAUACAGUAUAUACACUAUGUAUAUAUAUGUACAUACAUAUAAUUAUAUGUACUAUUACAUAUACAUAUACAUAUAUAGAGUUGAGCUAGAAUACUAUCGUAGCGAACGGGCUCGUUGCCACCUAUUUGUUGUAAUAACUGAGAUUUUUGAUUAUUGAUUAAACCCUUUUGUUUGAUAAUGUUCUUGUGUGUAAUAUAAUUAUAAUGUUACUCGGUCAAAUUUCAGAGAAAACAGAGUUAAAAUGGAGAAGUUACCGACCCGGAAGUUUGACUUAAGUGAAUACGUAACUCCGGUUUUCCGAGAGCCGCGAAGUAGAGUGACUUUCGACGCGUAUCGGACUCCGAAUAAUAGCCUUCCAAUAGCAUCGUUUUCAACCGCUCGACUAUCCUGGACCCAAUGGCCUGACGGAUUGGAAUUGCUGCACGAAUUUCGAGAAAAAGGGGUUUUAAUGAUUUUUACAAUAUAGUUGUCUAUAUGUGUUUUUGUGUGAACCUAGGAGGGAUGGUUUUUGUCUGCAAAUCGGGAACCUUUUCGGGCGAAACGAAAUGUUAGAUUCGAAUGCCUCUGUUCGUGCUGAUCGCGCUGGUGCGAGUCCGAUCGAAAUCGGGCGGACGGAUCUUCGAUCGUUGAAAGUCUGGAAGGGCUGAUUUGAGUAAUCGGAUUAUUGCGAAAAGACCCGAUAUUUUAUGCGUCGAUUUGCGAGUUUUCGAAUCGGAGGACUGUCGUACAUAAAGCACUCGCUGGCAGGGAGCUGGCGUUUAAAAACCGUUCAGCCUUGAAGGGGUUUUCCGCAAAAGUCGCAGCAACCUAUAUAUAGGUUGACCUAGGUUUUCUUGAGCUACGCCUAACCCUAGAACCCCCCAGCUGACCCCAGCCGCCCCUGUCACCAGCACCUCCUGCCCUGCCGUGCUCACUUCGGCCGCCGCGAGCAGCCCGGCCGCCGGAAACCGCCUGCAGCCAGCCUUCCUACCUCUCCUCGGCCACCUCCCUCAUCAUCUAGCCGAGGCAUGUGGGUGGGUCCUCCACCGCUCUAGAAGCGAGCCCUCGGCCUCCUUUCCACCUCAGGCAUGCUCUUCCCCUAGCUCCGGCCAUCCCCCGACGUCGCCGGAGCCGCCGGAUGGAAGCUCGCGGCCAGCCCUGGUCAGCCCAGAGCGAGCCAGGCCGAGCCGCGGAGUUGCGGCGCUGCCACCCCCUCUUCUUUGGCCGCGCGCGCCUUCCAUCUGGCCCGUCGACAUCCGGCGUGCAUCCCCGCUCGUCCACUGCUCGCCGCCGGUGCCGCUGGCUUCCCCGCCACCCAGUUUUUGUGCGGGCCGACCUUGGAGCCGCGCCGCCCCCGGCGUCGCCGUUGCCCUCGAGGUGAGCAUCACCUUCCCUCGGCCUCCGACACGAAUCAUCGCCGUCCCGAGCUCCCCCGGCGCCGCCUCGCGCCGGCAGCUCCCGAACCCAGAGGAUGGGCCGAGUGGUCUCCGGCCGCACGCCAAUCGCUGCCCGCCCGCCGCCGGCACGCACGCUCCCCCGGACUUCUGCCGACGCGCUGCUCCAUCUCUAGCCGGAGCGCGCCGCGCCCAGAUCGGCGCGGCCAUCCCUAGCUCCGCACUGCUCGCGUGAGUAGUCCAUUUACUUGGUUCCAAGCACACAGUUUUGUGCUCUCGGUCACUGUUUUCGGUGAUCCGAUGACUUCCCCUUGGCCUCGGGGAGGUGAGCACGAUUGAUCGUGGGCUCGUGCUGUGACCACGAUGCUCACCUCCAUUUAGUGUUAACUGCGUGCCCCUGGUUACGUGAGUAAUGUGCUAUUCUUGCGCGCUGUGCGCGCUGUUCGCUGUUGUUACGCGUCGUCGUGCGCGCGUAGUUCUGCCGGCAGUGCUCCGAAAGGUAGCACGCCCAGGCAUGGCUGAGCCUAGCCAAAGCUUGAUGGUAUCCUCCAGUAGAUUCCCUUGGUUUGCUGGUACGACCCAGUUUAGGAGCAUGAAAUCACAUCAAAAUAAUGUGAUUUCAUGUGCCGUUACGGUAUUCUUUGUUCGGAGUGCGUUUUCGCUUCGUCGUGGUGCUGUCGCAAGUUAGGCUCUCGCAAUCGGACUGAUGCCAAGCCUCCAAGCCCUUCGAAAUCAAUCGCCAUCGGAGGCUUGCGGCCGAAAUCCGGCGCAUAAACGCGUUUCGACCUCGAGUCCUCCACUCCCGACGGUGGCCUCGUGGUUGAUUGUUAGCGUCGCUGAGCCCUUGUGGCUGGUCACCCGCGUCUUCUCGACGGUUCGGACAACGAUCGGUGACGACGGUGGAGUUUCGGUUCGAUUUCCGGGACUUCGGCUGGUUCGGUAGGUUGACGUUUGCAGAAACGAUUUCGACGGGGUUAUGAUUUGGAUUUUGUGUGACGAAUUGGUCGUGUUAUUGGUGUUUUUGGGUUAGAGCUCUAACAAGGAUGGACCCUUCGUAGGUCGGUCGUUGUCUUCCGCCUUCGGCCGAGAACGUUUCAAAGCUUUAUGAGUGGGUACUUCGAUCGACGACGUACGGUACAGUGGUGCACGGCUUGGUGAUGGUUUCUUACCCUUACUCUUUCUGUUUACUAUCCAUGAUUAUAUUGAGCCUUGCCACCCUUGGUUUAUUCGUUUAAACAGUACCCUGUUCUCGUACUCCUUUGUAUUCCAGGAGUUAGGAGCCCAUUAGAGCAGUAUCUCUUUAUAGCAUUAACUUGUUGAUCUAGUGGUUGCGUUGGUUGCUUUGUAUCUGUUGACCCCCCCCCCAUGUUGGUCUGUAUGUUGCAUUCAUUAUCCGAUUGCCUAGUUGCGUUUGUUGUUUUGCAUCAGUAUUGUUGACCUGGUUGGUUGGUUCUCGUACUUCGUUCGAUGACCUUGAGGUCGGAUAUACCUAAGGGGUGGGAUUGUCUGAGCUAACGCCGACGAUUAUUAUAGUUACUCAGUUGCUAUUACUUUUGGUUAUGUUAUGACGCUAGUAGUCAGCUUCCAUGAGUCCCGUCGGUCGAUGACCUCUUGGCGCGUCGGUGUACCCUAAGGGUGGAUUGUCGGCUGGUGCUGACCGGUAUGUUCUGGAUAUAUCGAGAUACCUCCUGUGACCUAUCGGUCGACUAUAUACAUAUACAUAUGUAUAUAUGUAUAUAUACAUAUAUACAUAUACAUAUGUAUAUAUGUAUAUAUACAUAUAUACAUAUACAUAUGUAUAUAUACAUAUAUAUACAUAUAUAUGUAUACAUAUGUAUACAUACAUAUAUAUAUAUAUAUAUGUAUAUAUAUAUAUAUGUAUAUGUAUAUGUAUAUGUAUAUGUAUAUGUAUAUAUGUAUGUAUAUAUAUAUGUAUAUGUAUAUGUAUAUAUGUAUAUGUAUAUAUAUAUAUGUAUAUAUGUAUAUGUAUAUAUAUAUGUAUAUAUGUAUAUGUAUAUAUAUAUGUAUAUAUGUAUAUGUAUAUGUAUAUAUAUAUAUAUAUGUAUAUGUAUAUAUAUGUAUAUGCGUGUGUGUGUGUGUGUAGAUAGGGUUGACCCCCUCACCCCUUCUUGGGUUGAAGCUGUCGCCGCCAAUGGCGCCACUGCUGCAGUACCCAAGCCUGAGACCCUCCAACGCUGCCUCCACCUUCGGCCAUGCUCCCUAGGCAGUGAUCCCAGCAGAGCCCCCAUCCUUAUCUUCUUCUUCUUCAUGUUGAGCUACCAACGCCGCCACAGCCGAUGUCCCCGAGGGUCGAGGGAUCUUCGGCGACCUCCCCUAUGUUGACUUGUAGCCCCAUCUACCUCCCUCGGCUUCCCCUUUUGGUACGAAUUGCUGUUGUCCCUGCAUCUGCUGUUGACUGUGGGUGGCCGAGCUUGGUCCUUUGGCCAUCGCCACCGCUGACCAACGCGAGCCCGGGUUCCUCUUCUCUCUGGUCAACCUCCCCCAACUCCUUUUUUGGGCAAGCUACCUCCUCUAGUUACUGUCGAUGGUGGUGCUGCUCUAGGCUAUCUCCGUGGGCGUUAUUUUGUUCGAAGUCUUUAUUUUGACCAUCCGGCGUCUCCGGCGACUAUCUGCUGGUGAGCACGGCACACCUAGGCAUCGAUGCUGGUCCGUGCUCCCCUAAGUUUCAGGUAAUGGUACCCGAAUCCCUAUUUUCAACAGUGCUCGCCCGGUGUUCGAUUAAUUGACUAAUUCUUCUUUCGACUUUUUUGGUCAAUUCGGUGGUCAAAAAAUGGAGUUCUUGGGAGCAUGGUGAUUGUGGGGAAUCCCUCUACACUGUACUCAUAUUGUUAGUGCGGAUCAGACGACUGGUAGAAUCGCGAGCCCAUCGUGUACCCGAAAUUAGCUCCGCGUCGCCAAUUUUUUCUCUCCGACGGUUGGCGAUCAUUUGGGUGAAUACUUUGUGGGUUCGCUGCAGCCAAAGAAGUGUCGACAAUCCCCAUGAACUGCUGGUCCAUUUCAAAUUGUGGAAGUUUUGUAAAUUGUACAAAAUCUCCUUUUCAUUUGCUUUAAUUGAAAUUAUGUGCAAUUACACUAUGUAUUCGGCUUCUCGAUGCUUUUCGCGUCGUGACAAGUGUUGGACAGUGGUGUUUAGCUUUGUGUGAUGUUCGAACUUAUUAUCUGAGGUUUGGAAACAUUUCAUGGCCAAUUUGGUGCGGAAUGACACAAAAUCGAGCCGAAAUCAGAUCGAUUGUGUGGUUUUCGAUUUCGCUAUCACGAAGUUGAUGUUGUUGCUAUCCGGAUUUGUUGUCGAGCCUUAUUGGCUAGUCUAGCCUAAUGUUUUGCACCCCUUGUGGCAGCGAGCGCCUCGUGGGUGGUCCGGAUAUCGAAAUAGGUAUCGCGAGGCCUAUUUUUGACUCACUUUCUGGAAUGGUAGCUCCCGCUAAUGCAUGUUUAUAUGUGGCUAUCCCUAAAACCUAACAGCGGGUGUGAUUUGGAGGUAUUAGGUGUGACUCAUGAGACUUCGUGAGGUGUAGUGGCAACUCGGUUAGUUUAUGCGGAUUUCGACAAAUUCAGGAGAUCGGUAAAAGUGUUUGAUGUUCCGAUUGUGCCGUGUGUUGCGGAUGACGUAUAUCACUAAUUAGUGAUGUUGCAGUGUUGUGAGGGCCUUAGGGCUUAUUACACAAUGCAUGUGUGGUCCGAUAUCAAAGUGGUUUUUGGAUCAUCAAAAUGGUAUCUAUAGAUUUCGUCGUGGUAUUAUUCAGCAAUCGUCAUCUACUUGUCGAGCACUUGGUGUGCGGUUAUCCCAACGCCUAAAGUAGUGCGUCUUGGGAGUGUUGAACUGUUGUUAUGACUCUCUACGGAGUCAGCUAUUGGUUGGGCCUGGAUUCGUGAGCUGGUUUAUAGAAUUAUUGUUCCGGUCGCGUCGUGUCAUACACGAGUGUUGUUGAGUUUGUCAGUGGAUGUAGAAGACGCGUAGGAUGCUCUUUGUGGCUUUUGGUGAUUGUAUCUUCUGUAUAGGUGACGGUUAGAUACAUUGGUUGAGUCGAGAACUCGGAUACUUGGUGAGGUGGGUGCUCCAUUCCGAAGUCGGCAAAGUUGUAUCUUACUCGGUUUCCCCCUUAUUUGAUAUAUUUUAUAUUAGUUGAGUAGGACAACUUCUCUUGACUUCAUAUUAGUACAUGCUUUCACUCUACAUGCAUGUUGCUUGUUAUGUUGAUUAUCGUAUUGAUUCGCAGUCCCUUGAUUGAGCUCUCUCCUAUAGCUCGUCUGUGACAUAUAAAGUAGGUGGUGAUCUGGUGGAAUAUUCAACUAUUUAUGAUUGGAUCUGAUAGGUCAGUGUUUACUCAUCGUUGAGUUAUGACCAUGUUAGUCGAUCAUUAUAUCUUAUGUGAGAUCAACUAAGCUGAUCGGCGUUUACCUCCUCAGAUUUGACCUUCGGGUUUGGAUGAGUUGCCUUAUCAUGAUUGGGUUUCAGCAUGCUUCACCUUAAUUAUCUGCAUUAAUGUCACCUUUCUACGUACCCGUGUAGUGUAGCAUGCUAGUUGACCUAGAGAGUAUAGAUCUUAGCAUCUUCGUUGACAUCUAUUGAAACUACCUCUUGGCUCCUUCUGUCACCUACGAGCAGUGAGUUUGACUGUUAAGUCUAAAUCAGUGGAGCUUUGAGUAUAUACAUAUGACUAUACCUUGUACAACACUGGGGGAGCCUUAGACAUUCUUCAGUUGACAGCCUAAUGGGAGGUGAUGUUUCAUUGAUAGGUUUCGCCACCUUGAGUUCUCACCCCCAGAUUUGAUAUACACUGUGCUUAGACAAAGUUAACGACUCUCGGUGUUGGUGAUUGUGUCCCUCCAGAGUAGUACUUGAUUUUUUAUCUUCGCAACCUAAUGGGCGAGCUUAGGCGGGGUCUUGAUGACCGGUCACAGUGAUUGGGUAUACUUGGGACUACUCGCACGUCCAAUUGAUGUAUAGUAUCUCUAUUUAAGUUGUGCAUGGUAUCUGGUAGCUGUCUAGCCACUACAACAAAAACGGUCUAUAGCGACACUUUUAAAUGUAGGUACAUGUCAAAAAAGUGCUGCUAGCUAAAAUUACCGACACUUUUAAAAAGUGUUGCUAUAUGUAGGGUCGCUAGGUGUAAGGACUGAGAUUUUUGCAGUGUAGCUAAACUCUCAGUUGACGAUGUUUUUGUGUGUAAUUGAAUUACAAAAGCACUCGUCAAGUUUCGGGCGAAAACGAGUUAAAACGGAAAUUCUACGCGAUUUCCAAGUUUCACUUAAAGUGAAUAGUAACUCGAUUUUCCGGAGAAGCCACGGUGUGAAGUUGGCUUCAGGCUCGUAUCGGACUCNUACAAAAGUACGGCCAAAUAGAAAAGAUGCAAUGAAUGGAAGCUAAAACAUAAUAGAUAAUUCAUUUGUUGAUGAACAAUGCAUAAAAUACUUAAUUUAGCAAAUUAAUUCACAGGUCAUCCAUAAUUUUCAAUGGUUUUUUUGUCAAAAUUCAUAUAUAACAGUAGCGAACAACACAGAAAUAGUGGAGCAACAAAUAAUUCGUGAAAAAUCUCUAAAAUUUCUAAAAAAAAGAAAAUAUAAAAUCGGAGAACACAGUGACUAUGCCUUAGACUUGGUGGGGAACGAGAACAAGGCGAGGUCGAGGGCGAAGGGAGGAGCCCAGGAUUUGGGUGGUACGAUGCGGCAGAUCCCGAAGGGCUCAGCGAGGGGCCGGAUCUGGUCUAUGUAGGCGAGCGGGUCCACGAACUCCUCCUCCGUGGGGUAGAACACGGGAGCGUGGGGGAUGCCGACGCCGCCGCCGCCGCCGUCGCCGCCGCCGUAGGAGGCGGCGGCGGCGGAGGAGGAGGCGGCGGCGGCGGAUGAAGGGUCGGAGAGGUGGGCGGCGCCGCCCUUCACGACGUCGCGGGGGCGACCCUUCGCCAUCUAGGGUUUCGGUUUGCGUUGGCGCGGGGGGGAAGAAGCUCGGGUAGUUGGAGGAGGAGAACGAUAGAGUGGAUUUUAGUGGAGGAGAAUGAUGCGUCACGUGAGAGACUAUAUGGGUCGAGGUGGAAGGGGUUCGUGGAGAUGGUGAUCGGAGAGGGGAGAACGGGAGAUAGCUCGUGACUCAGUUUUUUUUUUUUUUUUAAGUAAUUGGGCCGGGUGGGGUGGGGUGGUGGAGCAGGAUAAUUUUUUUGUAGGGCUAGAUUGGGCUUCAUAUUUGGGCCUUGAUUAUUUUUUUUUAAAAAAAAAUUGGAUAUAUAGGACACUUGUAUAAAAGUGUCCCUAAAAUGUGUCACUAUAACCUAGUUUUGUUGUAGUGUAACUCGAUUUUUCGGAGAAGCCACGGUGUGAAGUUGGCUUCAGGCUCGUAUCGGACUCCGUUCCUAGCGGUCCAAUAGCUCGUUUCAACCGGUUCAGCUGUUCUGGAACUAAUGGCGCUGACGGAUUUUGAGUUCGAUGCACGGAUUUCGAGAAAAUCCAAAAAUACAUAUUCUAUAUGUAUUUAGGUGUGUUUUCUUCUGUUGAAAGGAAGGUUGGAUUUUGUCGUGAAUCCGUGGUCGAUCGAGACGAAACGAAAUCGUAGCUUUGUUGUCUCCCUCGUGCUGAUCGCACUGGUGCGAUCCGUUCGCAAAUCUGACGGACGGAUCUGCGGAGAUCACGCAUUGAUCGAGGAGAGGUCGGUAGUGGCAAAACGAUAUUUUCGCAAAAGUCGCGAUAUUUUAUGUAUCGUUUCGCGUGAGAUCGCACGUGGAGGGGUAUUCGUGCAUUUUAGUCAUGCUGUGAGGGACUCGGUAUGAAUUACCGGUGUUUGGUGGACCUUUUUGCAAGUUGCACCUUGUAUAUAUAAGCUCUUUAGGGUUUUGUUUCACCUAACCCUAACCUAGCCCUAGCCAACCACCCAGCCGCCUCCCUCUCCUUCCCCUGCACCUGCUGCGCGCGCCCAGGCCGCCGCCGACCGAGCCCCGGCCGGCCAACCACCGCGGCAGCCACCACUUUCCUCCCUCGCCCUCUCUUUCUCUCUCCCUCUCUCCUCUCGGGUUGUGUGGAGGCUCGGGGCUGCGCCACCUUUAGACCCUCCCCCAGGGUCGCCCCGUGCUCCGGCACCCCUUCCCGCCGGUCGCCGUCGCCGCCUCGGCCAGUUGCAGCCGCCCCAGCCCGAGCCCAGGCCGAGAGUUUGUUGCGACCUCUUUCCCGCGUCGCCGCCAUCUUGGGCCACCCCGAGGCACUUCUCCGGCCUACUGCAACCCGCCGCCGACGUCCCCGACCUACCCCAGCCGCCGCCAUGGCCGCAGCUUCCUUGGAACCCGAGCCCGAGCUCGUGUGGGCUGAGCUUGCUCCGCCGCUGCCACCGCCGCUUCUCGUCUCCAACGGAGGUGAGCUUCGUGNCACGUCUUUGUCAUGAUUAAUGUGAGUGGCCUCGUUCCGAAUGUGUUGAACCGGCCGCCGCCGGCCUGCCGCCCGCAUAGCCUUCGUCCGCCCAUGGCCGCUACCUCCCUACGGUCCCGCGUGCAGCCGGCCGCAGUCCUCCGCCGCCGUCGCUGCCCGUAACUACGGGAUCGGCGUGCUUUACCACCCCUCUAGCCGGCUGCCCCUCGGCCGCCGUCUGCUUACGCCGGUCGGACCCUCACGGCCGCGAGUGCGAUUGACCACCGUCUUCCGCCGCUACCGAGCGUCGAGUCCGCGCCGGUGGGCUCGAGCCGAGUCGUCUCCCAGCGCGCCGCCGCGGGUUCCGCACGCCGCCGCUGCCGCCGGUUAGACCGUCCUGCGCCCCCACGGAAGCCAGUACUCCCUCCAGCCGCUACACAAGGGACAGUCGCCGCUGCGCCCCCUCCGCUACGCCGGUAAGGAGACAGGUAUGACCUCACCCGACGGGGUCUCAAGUGCGCGCCACCAGCCGCCGCGGGCCCCUGCUGCCCCUCCCCGCGGCCUCCAGAGGCCUCUACGGUCCUCUUGCCGCACCGGCCGCCCUUCGUCGCCGCCACGCUCCUCCGUCCCUAGUGGGUCCGAGCCGGACCCACUGACAAUCGGCGUCCUUCGAUCUCGCCGAGGCCGCCGCGUACCCCUGCCAUCUCCGGCCGCCGCUACCACGGCUCUACCCGGAGCCGGUGUCCUUCUUCGAAUCAGUGCUCAACCACGGUAGACUCGAGUUCUCAACUCCUUCCACCACCGAUCCACCUCUCCUACCACCUCCUCUCCGGCUAGAUCCAAAAGCCACCGGCCCCUGCGAGCGGCCGCUGGCCCCGUACGCGUGACCCACCUGUCCCCCUCGAUUCAGUUGAUCCUGACGAUUCCAAUCGGCUCCCUACCUAAUCCCAAUCCCAAAGUGUACCCUUUGGGAUUUCCAUGAUAUAUAUGUAGUUCCAAAUUAACGGCGAAUCAGAAGGCUUCUGUUUAUAAAAAUUGGGCCAGGGACGGGCACGCACAUUAUACGCUCAUGCGUGGGGCUGCAAGCUUUAGAACGCUUUGUCGUGUAUUUUACAAUCUAGAAAAGCGCUAAAGAGGUAAAACGAUUAAAACUGGAGAUUCACUUUUGAUACGUUUAUGACCUCUAGGCAGACAGCUAAAAGCUAAGCUGACGUGGUAGCGUAAGUCGUGCAGCCCCCGUAGUUUUGAUGUUAGAACAAAGUAGUCUAAACCGGUGUCUAAGCGCUGCCUUGGGUAGACGAGAGAUUGAUUAGGUAUAUAGUGUGUAUAUGGUUACACAUUUGAUUAAUUUGGUUCAAAGCGUAAACUUUAGCUGAAGGGAUACAGUACGGGGCCCUGGCCGCCUCCGGGAGGGCCAUCGCACGGGUCUGGGCGGUAUACAGAUGUGUAUAUUCCGCAGAUGUGAUUUUCGCCUUCAUUUUCGUCCUCUAUCUUGUUUAUUUUCAUCGCUUUAUUGAUCGUUGAUGACUAUAGUCUCGUUCAUCUCAAGAUAGUAGAUGUGGUUUCAUUUCUUUUAUUUCGAUCAGUUUGUUUCUAUUGGUAUUCAUCAUGUUAUUGGCAGAGAUCAUGUUUUUACCGCCAGAGAUAUGUAUAUGCCCAUGUUGAGAGUUGGAGAGUGUUUUUCUUUUGUGCUCUCCAUCUGGUGGAUAGCUUGCUAGGGAGCCAUUCGUGCGAUCGGGCUCCGCUAUGGGAAAGGCGCUAGGGACCGGAGAGGGACGCACCUUCCGAGACUUUUUGUAGCUCUUUUUCUCCCGCACUCUUGAUAUUAAAUAUCAAGGGUCACCCGUUAAUGACUGGAGUCGAGAACUGUUUAAGGUUCGGAUCGCGGUUUCGGCGAUCCGAAGGCACCCCGAUGAUGAAGAAAGUGAGCACGAUCAUCCUCUUUCUGUGCUGAACAUCAUGCUCACCUUCGUUUAGGUCUGAGAUUCCCUGGUUAGCGAGUUCAACGCGAUUUAUACCCUGUGCGCGCUGUUUCGCUAACUUUCGCGUCGCUCAUGCAGGUGCCACAGUAGCCGGAAGUGCUCCGAAAGGGGAGCACGGCCUCCAGCACCCCGAGACCUAUCAACGGGUGUCUCGGUUCAGCUAAAUAACCCUCAGGUCGCGCUAGUGAGUCAUAAAAGCCCCGAAAUCACAUAAAUAAUGUGAUUUUGGAUAAUCGGGUGGGCUUUUAUGCAUUUUCGUUCGUCGUGGCUAUUGUUGGCAGCAUGUGCGGGCAGUGGAUAACCUAUGGACUGAUUGUCCAAGGCCCCAAGCCCUUAUGGAAAUCGAAAAGUGAUUUCCGGCACAUUUCUCGGCGAAAUCCGCCGACGGAACGUGGGUUCGGUUCGGAAUUCUUCCGACGGUGCUUCGUGAUGAUUAUUUAUGUAUAGUGGUAGCGAGUGACUCAUAGCACGAGUCGGUGUGUUCCGGGACAGUUCAUGGAUCCCGGCGGUGUCCCGGUGCGAUUUUCGGGACUUCCGACGAGUUACGGUAGUCGUUUUUGGGAAACCGAUCUCCGUGGCAUUAGUUUGUGGGAUGUGGAGUCAGUGGUUAUUAGUGGUAGGUUAUACACUAACUCGGUGGACCUUCCUUAGGUCCGGUUGAUAUUCUUUUUGCAGUCAGGAGACAGACGCGACAUCCUUACAGGUGGGUACUUCGACCCGACGUCGGUACAGUGGUGCACGCUCGGUGAUGGUUUCUUACCUUUAUUCUCUCGUUAUUAUCUGGCAUAUAUAUAUAUCUUGCUAUAUAGUGUUGAGCCUAGCACCAUGUUGUUUCAGUUAUGCUCUACUCGGUUAUUUUCGUUAUAUCUAGUAUCAUGAGUAGGAGUAGAGUAGUUAUUCCAUGUUUCUUUGUUACUCUAUUUAGCUGUUCUGCAUAUCCGGUAUCAUGUUUAGAGUAGAGCAUCUUCGUGACUUUCAUUGUUUGAUGACCGUUGAGGUCGGUAUAUCCUGAGGAGUGAGAUUGUCGGUUAAUGGCCGACGGAUGAUUAUAGUUUUCACAGAUCUGUCAUUUGACCCUUUGUGACCUAGUCUGUCAGUUCUGGAUUCUUGUCGUUUGAUGACCCACGAGGUCAGUGUACCCUGAGGGGUAGGAUUGUCAGCUAGUGGCUGACGGCAGUUCCAGAUUAUAGUGAUACAUUCCUGUGACUUAUUGGUUGAUUCCUGCAUCUAUACUUUAGUUGAUCCAUCGAGCAGUAUUUCCAUACUUUUGAGAGGAUGUUGAGUCGAUUCGUUGUGCAUAUAUCCUAGUUGACCUGAGUGGUCAGUCCUUGUGGUUCAUUGAGCAGUACUUGCAUAUGUUUGAGAGGAUGUCGAUGUUGUCCCAUCCUAGUUGACCUGAGUGGUUGGUUCUUGUGCUUUCUUACAGUUGGAUGACCUUUUGGUCGGUUAGCCCCGAGGGGCGGUGAUUGUCGGCUGAUUGCCGACAGUUGGCUAUUGAUCAUAUCUGCAUUGAUCGCCACAGCUCGAGUGCAUUUCACGUACACCAGCGGGUUGAUCCCCCGCAGGAGGGUGUUCUGUUCCGGAAAAGUGGUCGUACAUCCGACCCGUGAGCCCAGCGGUGUUGUCUUUGUGCUAGGGUUACAUGCCAGGUGUGAGCAGGUAGUGGCUUUUGCCUGAGGUCCUUAGUCCGACACGGCGGUUUAGAUUGGGUACUUUUGGACUUCUCGUCCAGUUGACGCAUAUAGCUAUAGUAGCGGUUGUUGUAUAUAUACUUCUAGUUCUUUCUUUACAGUUGUCUUACUACUAUAGUUUUGAUAUCCUUGUAUACUUGCAGUUGUACAUUAUAGUAGCGGUAGUUGUGCUUUCAUAUAUAUAUCUCAUUCGUUCAUUAUCGUUGCUACUGUAUUNAUGUUGUGAGCUGGUUGAAUUUGUGGAUUUGUGGAAUUGUGGAUUUGGUUUAUGGAUCUUCAGUUUUGGGAUGUUUGUAUACUUUGUGGUUCGCGGAUUUGUAUUUAUGGAUUUACGCAUCGUGGUUUUCUACCCCUCGAGGUAGUCAGUUUUUAAAAUAGAGUUUCCGUGUGGAAAACAGUUUUCAAAAGAUUUUUGAAUGAUUUUCAUGUAUGAAUGAAUUAGAUUUUAAAAACAAAAGCUUCCGUGUGGGGAGCACUUUUAAAUAGGAUGAUUGUUGUACUGUGUAUUGCAUCAUCCAGCGUCUAAGGAGUGUUUAGAGGCAUGCAUCAUCUCUAAGGAUUGUUAGCUGUAUGAAAAUGCAUAUCAUGAAUUGGUUGCUGAUUGAAAAAUGUAGGUUGUGGUUGUGAUCCUGUUGUAUCCGUUGGUACGCCGUGCAAAUACAAAGGAGACUCUGUCCGAGUGAACAGAUGAACUUUGUAUUUGUGGCGGGUCUGUACGUCACGUGGGCCAGGUUGGAAAAAAAAAAAAAAAUGGCACAUCUUCCGCGACUCUCAGAUUUCAAAAUGGUAAUGGCUUUUAAGAUCGGCCCCAGGGCGUGACACUAGGUAUAUAGUGACAGUUAAAGAGUGCCGCUAUAACCUAAAAGAGUACUGCUAAUUUUCCAACACUUAUUUAAGCAUUUAGCAACCGCCGAAACUCUAUCUCGUUGGCUGCGGUGGCGGAAGAGGACGACAGUAAAGGCUCUUCGUUUAAAAUUUCAGUGGAUUGAGUGAAGAGUGAAGAAAAGAUGGUAAUUGAUUUUUCUUUUUUUUUUUUCUUUUCUGUUUGUAAUCGGGCCAAAUUGACUCGGUGUGGUGGGUUGAGUAGAGUAAUCUUUUAUUUUUGGUUGGAUUGGGCUUUAUAUUUAGACAUUAGUAGAUGUGUUUUUAAGUUUUAGCAUAAAUGGGACACUUACUCAAAAGUGUCCCAAAUAUGUGUCCCUAUAACCUAAUUCUGUUGUAGUGAGCUUACAGUAGCAGCAUCCCUCGUUUAGUAGUUUAUGAUAUUUUGUUAUUCAUCAUUUUGCUACUGUAGUUGGUGGUCCUAUUAUCUUGGGAUAUAACUUUGUUUACAAUAGCGGCAUUACCUUGUGUUCCACUAUGUGAGAUUUAUCUAUGUGUUUUGCUACUGUAGUUGAUUAUCUUUUAUUUGCAGUUACCUUAUUUAUCGUACUCCUUUUGUUUACCGAUGAGUGUGGCUUGCCCUUGUCGACUGGUUGCCCCCAUUAGGAAAUAUAUUUAUAUGUAGACAGUGCGGGUCGAGACACGGUGUGACAAUGCGGUUAGUUAGCGCCUAGACAGCUCGUGCUAUGGAUCUUAUUGUAGUCUCGAAUUUACUCUCUUUACCAUUUGAUAUUGUGGAUAUGUCCGUAUUUCAAUAUUAUGAUUUGAGUUUAGUUGAGAUGUUGGAGUUUUCCUAUUGUAGUAGUUUAGUGGAUUCUGAAUUAUGAUUUUGGAUUGAUUAGUAUUAUGAUUUCUGAAUAAUGAAACUAUUUUGUUAUAAUUACUUGUGGUUACUUAUUUGUGUUCCUGCGUCAUGCAUGUACAAGGAAGACUCUGUCUGCAUGGAUAGGGGACACCAUGUACAUGUAGCAGGUCUGUGCAUGUCUGGGCAAGGUUUACAAAAAAAAAAAAAAUUAUGCUUGUCCACAACUCUAUUUUCAAAUUAGAAAAAUUCUUCAAAAUUAGCUUUCAAAAAAAGACCCAGGCCGUGACAUAGAUUUCAGCAAAGCAACCAACAAAAGUGAAAGAACCUCAAUUUCUACUUAGUAACUUUCACCAAAACAAAAAAUUAGACGGGAGUUUGACUUAGAGAAAUUUAAAUAUCACUGCAUUUCUUAAGUUCCACCAGCAUUUAAGUUCCGUGGUUCCAAAUAUGCCAUAAGGUGGAACUUGUUGGCGUACCACCAAAAUGAAUGUACAUUCUAUGCAUGCAUUGCAAAAGAGCAUAUAUAUAUAUAUAUAUAUAUAGAGAGAGAGAGAGAGAGAGAGAGAGAGAGAGAGAGAGAGAGAGUUGAGCUAGAAUACUAUUAAUAGCAAAAAGUUUUUUUUGCUAUCAAAUUUUUAGCCUUUGGAUUAAUUUCUUUCAUCAUUUUUAACCAUUGAAUUAAAUAUUAUAACCUAGUGAGGACCGCUCAAUCCUAAGGGACUAAUAUCAUCUUAACCCUACAAUUUCUCAUCCAAGUUUUAAAAACUUGAUAGCAAAAAGAAUCUUUUGCUAUCAAUAGUAUUUCAGCCUAAUUCUAUAUAUAUAUAUAUAGAGCAGGGCUGCUGUGCUCUCAGGAGCACGGAGGCCUCCGUGCUCCUGAGCCGUUUUCGAUGAUGGAAUUUUCGAAUCGACGAUCGGCUCCGUUAGACUUGAUCUAGCGCAUUUGAAGUUUCUGGAAAAUAAUUUUUGCGAUUUUUCGAUAUCAUUUACAUAGUGAUCGAAAGGAUUCAAAAUCUAUAAUUUUUAAUGGUUGAUAUCUGCCGUUUUCAAGUUUAACGGUGUAGAAGUAUUCAAAUCAAAUGAAAUUUUGAUAGAAAAUUAUUUAUACUAGCUACAACAAGAUCUAUAUUUCUGAUCGAAAAUUUUAGUGCUAUAUCACCACUUUUAAUAGGAUUUUUAUUUUCAGCCGUUAAAAAUUAUUGAUUUUGAAUCCUUUCGAUUGCUAGGUAAAUGAUAUCGAAAAAUCGCAAAAAUUAUUUUCUAGAAACUUUAAAUACGCUAGAUCAAGUUUAACGGAGCCGAUCGUCGAUUCGAAAACUCCAUCAUCGAAAACGGCUCAGGAGCACNACGGAGGCCUCCGUGCUCCUGAGAGCACAACAGCCCUGCUCUAUAUAUAUAUAUACUAAAUUACAGAAAACAUUCCUACUAAAUUACAGAAAACAUUCCUGUCAAUACCCGUUUUUCACUUUUCCUCUUGUCAUUCAAAAACCUACACUUUGCCCUUUUGAAAAAUAAAAAAUAUUCACAGGGAGAUACAUCGUGACAAAAUAACCAAAUAAAAUGUUCACAGGGAGAUACACCGUGACAAAAUAACCAAAUUGUCCCUGAUCUUCUUCGGGCUAGUCGUGGAUGAGGAGGCGAGGGCGAGAGCGAGGGCGAGGGUGAGGCGACGGCGGCGAGCGAGGAUGUGCGUGUGGGCAUGGACAAGGGUGCGCGAGGGCGAGGCGGCAAAGAGCAAGACAGCUUGGCGAAGGUCAGUGAGAAAAGAUGAGGGUUCCAAGGACAUUUUAGAUAUAAAAAAAUGGAUAUAAACAGACCCUACCGAAACACUGACGACGAUGGGCCAAAGUGUACAUUUUUUAUUUUUUAAAAGAGCAAAGUAUAGAUUUUUGAAUGACAAGGAAGGAAAAGUGAAAAAGCGGGUGUUGACAAAUAGAUUUUCUAUAAUUUAGCAAUAUAUAUAUAUAUAUAUAUAUAUAUAUAUAUAUAUAUAUAUAUAUAUUAGGGCUACUAUCCUAUUAAUAGGAUAGUAGCACUUGUUCUAUCAAGUUGUUCUUGAUGAUAGAGAUUCCGAAUCGAUGAUCGGAGCCGUUGAAGUUGAUCUAGAGUAUUUGAAAUAUCUAGAAACUAAAUUUCAUAAAUUUUAAAAAUUAUUUACAUGGUGAUCAAAGUGUCGAAAAAUCGAUAAUUUUUGACGGCAUAUAUGAGCCGUUUGCUUGUUUAACGGUGUAGAGUAAUCCAAAUUACUUGAAUUUUUGAUAGAAAAUUCUUUAUACUAUUUAGUAUGUUUGAUAACUCUGAUUAUGAAUUGAGAAAGUCUAAACCUCUAUUUUAGAAGUUAUUCAUUCUAUGACGCGUUCAUUUUUCAACUCUUAAGAUGAACUUGAUAAUGAUUUUUAAAUAUUACAAAAUUUGGUUUCUAAACAUUUCUAAUUGUGUAGAUCAAUUCCAACGGUGCCGAUUAUUAAUUUGAAUUUUCGAUCAUUCAAAUCAACUUGAUAGGACAAUGUCUCAAUCCUAUUAAUAGGAUAGUAGAUGGACUAUAUAUAAUAUAUAUAUUAUAUAUAUAUAUAUAUAUAUAUAUAUAUAUAUAUAUAAUUGAGCUCCUAUACUUUAAAAGUACCAAGUAUUAGUGUUAUAGAUUUUUAGCCAUGGAUUAUGAGAUAUGCGGUUGAAUGAUAUGGGCCCCUAGUUGGUGCGAGGGUGGUUGGUUGAAUAGUAUAAUCUAUAUGUUGAAAAUAAUCAGAGGAGUAGAUCUAAUAAUAAAAAAUUUAUAGCACCAAGUGCUUGGGUUUUACAAGCACCAUAGCUGAACUCUAUAUUAUAUAUAUAUAGUAUAUAUAUAUAUAGACUACUAUGCUAUCGAAGCACGGAGCCUUCCGUGCUUCCAAGCUCGUUUUCGAUGUUGCGACUUUUGAAUCGUCGAUCACUCCGUUAAACUUGAUCUAGAGUAUUUGAAGUACUUAGAAAUAAAUUUUAUGAUUUACGAUAUCAUUGCCUAGUGAACGAAGGGGCUCAAAAUCAACGCGCUGAAAAUAAAAUCUUACAAAAUGUAAUAAUAUAAACUUAAAAUUUUAAAUCAAGAUAUUGAUCUUGUUUUAUAUAGUAUUAAAGAAUUUUCUAUCAAUUUACUUGAUUUAGAUAUUUCUACCGUUAAACUUGCAAACGGCUCACUACGGCCAUUGAAAUUUGUUGAUUUUAAGCCCAUUUGAUCACUAGGCAAAUGAUAUUGAAAAAAUAAUAAAAUUUAUUUUCUAGGUACUCCAAAUACUCUAGAUCAAGUUUAACGAGUCGAUCGACGAUUCGAAAGUCGCAACAUCAAAAACGAGCUGGAAGCACGGAAGGCUCCGUGCUUCCGAUAGCAUAGUAGCCUCACUCUAUAUAUUAUGUAGGGCUACUAUACUCUUAUGUAUAAUAGUAUAGAACCCUUCAUACUCAUAAGUGUUUUCAAUGAUAAGCUUUCGAAUCGACGAUCUUACUUCGUUAAAAUAAUCUAGAGUAUUUGAAACUUUUAAAAAUAAAUUUCGUAAUUUUUUAAAAUCAUAAUAAAGUUCAUCAAGAGGUAUAAAAUGAACGGUCAAAAUCGAACGACAUCUUAAAAUGGAUGAUCGGAUCCUUCAAUUUAAAAUCAAAGUUAUUGAUCUUUAUCUAUGUAAUGAAUAAAAUUUUCUAUCAAAAUUCAAACCAAUUUCGAUUCUUUUACACCGUUAAACUAGCAAAAUAUCCCAUACUGGCCGUUAAAAAUUGUCAAUUUUGUGACCUGUUGAUCGUAAGGUAAAUAAUGUCGAAAAUAUAAAUUUGAUUUCUAGACAUUUUAAAUGCUCUAGAUAACGUUUAACGGUGUGGAUCGCCGCAUUUGAAAGCUUUAUUAUCAAAAACAAUUUAUGAGUACGACGCGAGUACUCAUAAGAGUAUAGUAGCUGGACUCUAUAUAUAUAUAUAUAUAUAUAUAUAUAUAUAUAUAUAUUAUAUAUAUAUAUAUAUAUAUAUAUAUAGAAUUAGGCUGGAAUACUAUUAAUAGUAAAACGUUCUUUUUGCUAUCAAGUUUUUAACCCUUGGAUGAAAAAUUGUAAGUUCAGGAUGAUAUUAGUCGGUUAGAGUUGAGUGGUCCCUACUGGGUUAUAGUAUUUAAUCCAAUGGUUAGAAAUAAUGAAAAGAGUUUAUCCAAAGGCUAAAAAACUAGCAGCAACAAUGAAAUUUUGCUACUAAUAGUAGCCCAAUCCAACUAUAUAUAUAUAUAUAUAUAUAUAUAUAUAUAUACUAAAAUACUAUUAAUUAGCACCAAGUCAUUGGUGCUAUUAAGUUUUCAGUCCUUGGAUGAAGCGAUGUACGGUUAGGAUGAUAGUAGUCCGAUGAUAGUAGUCCUCUAAGGUUAAGUGGGUGGUUGGUUGAAUAGUAUGAUCUAACGGAUGAAAUAAUCGUUAGAUGAAAUAAUCGAAGAGGUUGAUCUAAGGGCGAAAAACUUGAUAGCACCCAAUGCUUAGUACUAUCAAUAGCAUUAUAGCAAGCCUCACAUAUACAUAUAUAUAAUGAGGGUACAAUACUCAACACUAACAGAUUAAUUUUGUACAUACUACCAGAAUAAUCACACAUGCUUGGAAAGAAAACACAAAAUUACAAACACUAAUAUUUAAUAUAGUCGCAACUAUUACCAUGGACAGUCAUAAACAGUUUCUACUCUACUUAUACAAGAGGGGACCAGACCUUGAUGCUGCAAACCUCGGCGUUGGGCUCAGUCCUUGAACUGUUGAACUCGACCCUUCCACAAACUUCACUUUCCGGCUCGAACUGUAGCCUAACGGGCCCGACCGCCUCAUGCUACGGAGUAGCUUAUCGCCCCCCUUCAUCCUCGUAGUAUCUCCUUCAUAGACUUCAGUUGAUGCACUAAAAUGACUAGAUGAUUCAUAAGCAUUACUUUGAGGGGUGGAAUCCCCCUUGCCUUGCCUAACAGCCGGAGAUGCGUGUGCAAGAGAAAUAAGAGGUGAUUGUCUUGGAGAUGGUCCUGAAAGUUCGGUGAACGCAGAUGAAGAAGUUCCGUACUGUUGCCUGAAUAUUGAGCGGAUAAUUGUGUACGGUAUGUGAACUUCAAGAGUGCUUCUUGGCAUGUAGGGGGAGAGUUCGCAAAGGUGGUCCAGGAAUAUUAGCUUGGGUACGAUAUGUGACCUGUAUGGAAGAUGAAAUGAAGAAACAGAACUUAAUUAUAUAGGGCACAAUACAAGCACACAUGAAAAUACCGCCAUUAGAGUGUGCAACAAAGAGUCCGUGCAACAAGGAGUGUAAUUUGCUUGGCUCGGUUUUCUCUCCAAAGGAGAUAUAAUAUGAAGUGCAUAACGAGAAACAAAGAAAAUGCCUAGAUACUAGUUUGAGGGCAUGUUUGGUUUGAAGGACUUCAAACUUGGAAUGAGAAUGGAAAUGAUCCAUCACUAUUGUUGGUGUUUGGUUUUGAGCGAUUGUCUUUCCGAUUCCCAUGCCAGGGGGAAUAGAAUUCCCUCAAAAUGAGUCUAUUCCCCUCAAAAUGAUGCCCACCACAGAGGUGGGAAUCAACUUUGAUUCCAGAGGAGAUUGAGAAAAGAACUCGUUUCUUUUCCACUAACAAUUAUUUAAAUUCAAAUAUUAAUCUAUAUUUAAAUUUAAAAAUAAAUUAUAAUUUUCAUUUGAGUUUGAAUUAUGAAUUCAAAUUUCAGAUUUUAUUUUUUUUAAUUCAAAUGCAAUUCUAGUAUAAGUUUGAUAUUUGAAUUUAGUUCUAAAUUUAAAUUUUGAAGUUGAAAUUUAAUUGUAAAAUCAAAUUUUAAAUUCAUGAGUUCAAAUUUUGAUACGGACUUGGAUAAUAAAUUUAAAUUUAGAACUAAAUUCAAAUAUCAAACUUAUACUAGAAUUGCAUUUGAAUUAAAAAAAAUAAAAUCUGAAAUUUGAAUUCAUAAUUCAAANAUUUAAAUUUUGAAGUUGAAAUUUAAUUGUAAAAUCAAAUUUUAAAUUCAUGAGUUCAAAUUUUGAUACGGACUUGGAUAAUAAAUUUAAAUUUAAUUAAAAUUUAAAUUUGGAUUCAAAUUUUGAUAUGGACUUGGAUAGCAAAUUUGAAUUUAAUUAAAAUUUAAAUAUUUUGAAUUUUAAUUUGAAGGUGAUUCCGAUGAACCAAACAAAUCAGGAGUUUUCGUCAUUUUCAUCAUUUUUUUUCAUCCCAGUCCAUUCUCAUUCUUAUUCCUAUUUCAAUUCAUGUUUUGAACCAAACUUCCAAAGAGUAACUAACUAGUUAAUCAAUAUCAUGAACAUCAGUCUGUUUCCCUCACAGACAAAUUGUACCUUCAGAAAAUGCUAGAAGUACUAAUAUAACUGUGCUCUACUCAGAAAGUAAAAGAAAGUACUAUCAUAACCGACGAUCACCCCAAUCACAUGCUUUUUUGACAUUUCACUAUUGGAAGAAGCUGCACACUAGUAAGAGGAAUCAAAUUAACCACUUUUCCUGUUGAAGAUGUCUCGAAUUCCAGAACAGUAAGAUUUCUAAUCCUAUACUGUUUUGGGUAUUCUAUUAAGUUUAGAUUAUCCCUAAUCUUAUUGAGGUUAUUGCUAGUCUUAUUGGGUUUUAGUUUGUAAUAUAAAUAUAUCUUUUAUUACAUUGAUUUGAUGCGACAUAUGAGAGGGAAUAUGGGGCAUCUUUUGGGAUCAGGAUUUUGUAAGAGGCAUAUUUUGUAUUCCAGUUUGAUUAUAAUAAAAGUUUUCACUGUCUUCACCCGUGGAUGUUAGCCAAUGGCCAAACCACGUAAAUAUUUGUGUAUUUUAUUUUUCUUAUAUUUUCUUAUUCUCUUUUGGUAUUUUUGUGCCUGACAAACCAGAUCUUUUCUGCUUUCAUCAUACUCGUAUCAGAAUAAAUCCAGUAUCAGGAUAAGUUGCAGAUUCAUAACAUUUAUCUUUUAUCUGCUACAGGUGCAUUUCCUUCAAAUCCUUUGAAAUAUACAGUUCUCUUCCCUAAGAAAAGGAGAUUACGAAAUCCAAUACCUAAAGGGUUCAGGCUACCGGUCCUUCAAACAUACUAAACCUUGUGGUGCAGAAAGAUUGAGUGGAGCACCAGACAUAACUAGGAAAAUUGUACAAUUUAGAUCCAACUACUAAAUUUUUACAAACCUCUUAUUUUCCCUUUUCUAUUUAGGAGAAGAAUGGGAUGUGUUACCUUAUACCAAAAGGUAUGAACAAAGGAGAAAUGAACCAAGGAGAAAACCACUUAGAAAAGCCCAGUUAGCACAAAGUUAUUUUCACGAAAAUAAUUGUCACAAUGAAAUACAGGAUUUUGCCCAACAGGAGAUAAUGCAAUUGCCAGUACAGUCCAUAGGCAUGGCAAGCAAGUGCCUAACUCUAGUCCAUGACAUAUAUCUUUUAUAUGGAGAAAAGGCUUAAAAAUGUGAAUCAUUGAAGUUAAGGCAUAGCAUUUAGAUGAAUCUGAGAAGCAGCACGGAAGUGGGAAUACUAAAUAACAAAGGAAUGCCUGGCAAGUGGCAAAUAUACAUAAUUUUGAGAAAUAACUGCUGUAACGAGGAUUUUGCACUAUUCGAUCCUUAAAAGUUCUAAUGAGUAUUAUGGAAUUUGGUACCUGGUAUUAUCGUUCCAUGAAUCCAGCACAACCACCGCAGAGCAUUUGACAUAAAGUUGCAUAGCAGAUUUUAUAUUUGCUUCAGCAGAGAUGCGGUUAAGUAUCUCAGGCUCUUUUGUCUUGUCAGCACGCUCAUUCGGAAAAGGCUGCCUUUGCUGUUCUCUCUCGAUCCUAAUAUACUCACUUCCCCCGAUCACAGCAUUGAUACACCUAGAAGAAUCCAGAUGCAGUAGUUAAUUUAUCUUUCCAUGCAAAUGUUCCCUCAGUAAACCGACAUUCAGCUGAUUGUCGAUGAAACUUCUAGAAUGUGAUACUUUUAGUUGAUAACAAUAUGAUGAUCUUCACAGAAGAAAUAUUUCAAGAAAUAGAGAUGCAUUUAGAUGAAAUAGUGGAAACUGUAGAUCAUUCCAUCUAGGAAGCUUUAAUCUCAGAUUAUAAGAUAACACCAAUGAUUGUCAACAUUUUAUUUAUUUAAAUAUACAUUAUUUUCUAGGGAAAAAGAAAAAGUAUCCGCAGUAUUUGACAAUUUAACACCUACCUGUGGUUUCUACUGUCAAGAUAUAUAAUAAAUACGAAUAGAAAAUGUCAAUGUUAAAGAAAAUUUAACUUCUAUUUUUCAAUCAAUAAAAAAAAUUCUAACAGUAACUGCCACAGUUAAUGCAGCAGUAUAACCAGAAAUAAGAAAAGAAAAUCCAUACCCAAGAAUAAAAUGAGUUAAACUUGAGAACCUAGAUAAUGAGGAUUCCAUACCUUGAUAAGCAAUGUAAGUUGUUGUUGAAUUCCCCAGUACUUACAUUAUAAGCAGUCAUACUCCAAAUAUUUGACGUCAUAAAUGCAGCACAGAGAUAUGGAAGAAAGCUCCAAGAAUUAUCAUUUGCAGCACCUGCCUCAGCCAUAAUUGAAUGCAUCCACUCUGUAUCGUGAUCACCACCAACACCAACACUGCUCGCAAUCCUUUUUAACCUAGAAAUUUCAUCCUUCUCAGGUAGGUCCUCCGGCAAGUGCUUGGCUACACCUUGUAAGAGCGAGAAAAUAAGAGGCACCUUUUCCUCUAAAACUGCUCCAGCUGCCUCAACAAGCAGCUUACGAAAAGAUAUUGCCUGCCCUGCCUGAAUACAGAAACCUACCAAUGUUUCCAAAUCGAGAAUUUGCUUUAGAUUUGCUUCUCUUUCGAUUCUAUCGCCGUUAUUUACACUCCCAGCAAAGCCCUCUAGGGCUUCACGGUUCGACCGCAAUGAUGUAUCAAUGCAGUUUAGUAAUGCAGCUGUGUGCUCUCUCACCAUUCUAUCAAUCCUGUCGAACCCGUAGCCACCAAAAAGGCGAAUAAGGGCUUUGAGUUCUCUCACAUCAGUGAAUGACUCAGCUAGAUAUCCACCAAUAGGCUGCAAGCUCGUAAAGCAAUUAUCUGCAGCAAAGGCAACUCCAGCACAAGAAAUAUCUUUAACAAUGUAAUCAAUGUACCAGUUGCUGAUAGUCUCAAUAGAGGUUCCAGUUUGUAUAUCUGCAGGCCUUUCGAAACCUUGCAAGCCAGAAAAUGAGCCACUGAAGCUCUCGGUUAAUAGAACUUCUCUGAUGCCUUCAAUGAGAUCCAUACUAAUAUGCUGCUCUGCCAGGAGGACAAUGUUGAUGUGUCUUUGUAAGAGUGAUUCUAUUAUAGAUGGACGCUGGAGGCAAUUUUCAGUUCUUAAUACUGCAUGUAAUCUUCUUUUGAAGUUUCCGAGGAUACAAUCUCUCAUGUACUGUUGACAGGAGCAAAAAUAUGGGAAGCAAUUACCAAACAAUAAUGUUUACUAUUAUAACAAGGAGCGGAAAAUCAAAAAAACUAUAGAAAAAGAACAAUCCUAAAAUAUAAGUAAUAUAUGUCAGUGCCUACAACGAAAAAAUUCUUUUAUUUUAAAGAGUUACCUGCAAGUCUCCGGGAUACUAUAAACUACACAUCAUUCUCACUUUGAUAUGGUGAUUCGUACAAUUGCUAACUGAUUAUUCUUAAUAGCAUGACCAUCGGAAUCAUGGUUGAGCUAACCAAAUACGGCUGUUUUCGUUAUGCGAACUUAAUUUACUAGCUCAUCUUUAUCUUCAUACAUAACCACUUUUUAAUUUUCAUAUCUCUAUGCACAGAGGUUAACUAAAUAAUACUUUUGCUUCAUUUCGAAUAGUGUUAAUGCAAAAUGUCCCUAGUCUGUUGAGUUCCAAUAUAUUGUGCAUCAUAUCCACUUCAACUAUAAAAAUUUAAAAAGAAAAAGAGGAUUGGAUGUGAUGAUCCACUCUUGCUGGUUUACACUUGAUACCAUACAAUUCACGGAAUGAGUACAUAUGCAAUGAUAUAAUACAUUAAUGCCUUGAUAUAAUACAUUUAUGCCUUGUGAUCUAAGAAUAAUUGACAUGUCACUACCUACUGUAAGAUGAAAUUUCUUAAUUAUUCAAAUUUUUUUCUGCAUUCUGGUGAGUUCAGAAAUAGCAAGAUGGCUACAAAACCGUCCGAAACUUUCCAAGUCAAUUAUAUUUUCAAGUUGUUCUUAUAUAAAUUCCUGCCACUUUCAAAACAUUUCACCUAAAUCUCAUGCUCUCAAACUCGAAUAUCCGCACAACAUAUAUUCCCAUAUUAGGUUCUACCCAUUUCGAUCAUAUUAACGUAAACAAUUGUGGAUUGUCAACUACAGCAUUUAAAUAUUGCCAUGCACUGAAAUAAAAAAUCUACUAGUUUAAGAAGUAAUAUAGCUGAGAAAUAAACCAUAAACUAAAGGAAAUCCAGAGAGACAUUGUACUAACCUCACGUAAUACAAAAACAUGGUUUAGGACACAAAUGGGUUCCAUGUCAUUCAAAACAGAACAAAGAUUUGUCAAUCUCUGCAUCGCAGCUUCUAACCUGCUUUUAGGAAAAGGUUGUUAGGUGAUGGUUCGUUACAGUUUUCCUUAAUUUAUAGUUGACAACUUACAUUUUGACAGAACUGUUGUUCUCUGGAUGACUCUCAUGUCCUGGUACGAGCAAGCCGGACAUGAUUUUCGUCUUCAUUGCGUUGUUCAAACGAAUAGCUGCUUGCUCUGGAAUUAGCUGCAAAUUUGUAGAAUGAUGAGUACUAACCUGCAAAAUAGCAGACCUAAAAUAAAAGUUUGAGGAAUUAUUUGCAUACCUGCAUCUCUAGUGAACCAAAUCCACUUUCAGAAUCUAAAAUAUUUAUCAGACCUUCCAAUCCGCCCAUAAUGGAUUCGAUUAAAGACUCCACAUAUAAAAUGGCGUCUCUUCCUAUUUUAUUCACCUAAAUUUGAAUAUGAAAUAUAAGAAAAUAACCAAUUUCAAGCUACAAAGAUAAAAUAAAGAUUUAUCUCAUAGUAUGAAAAUUUAGAAAGGAACCAGCAACAAAUUAAAUCCUAUUGAGUUAUUAGAAGGGGAAAAAAAAAAAGCUGAUAAGAUAGGGCAACCUAAAGUAUUUGAAAAGCAAUUACAGAAGCACUUUUAUUAGCAUUAGCAUCUCCAUUGCCCUCUCUUUACAAACCUAAAAAAGUUAUAGCAGCUUCACUCAAUUUUUCUCUGAAGUAAAUUAAAAGUCGAUGCUCUCAAAGAAUUGAAAAUUUUGAAGCUGCUCAGCCUUUCCUAUAACACAGUUAAUCCAGAUUUUGCGAUUUCUUUUACUUGACAGACCAAAUUACAAGAGAGCCAAGAAUAGAAAUCAAAAUUGCGGUCGAUCUCUGCCUCCCUAUGCUGUAUGGUAGUAUAUGUUGAGCUAUCGAGAAAGAAUCAUUUUUGAAUCAUGAAAAGCUAGAAUCAUUCGUGAAUCAUAGAGAGAUACUACUUUUGGUUAGUCAAUCAAGUAGAAUUAUAUUAUGGGAACAAUAAAAGCAAAAGGACACCUCUUCCGGAACAAUGGCAGAGGCACAUUCUGGAAAACUGCUAGCUACUCCAAGCCAUGCACAGCAAUGCUGUGGAUGUCCUUCCGGACCAAACAUUGUGUUUCGAAAGACCUGUUUGUCGAGUGUUAAGCACCAAUAUCAUAAAAAAUUGCCAACUGUUUGGAGAAAGGAAGAAAACUGCAAUAAUGGAAGUCCAAAUGGACAGAGAAAACAAAUCUAUAUUACAGCUGUAAGAUGUUGAUGAUAGAAGUACAGCUUUUUCAGGCUUCCAUGCUUUGAUAGUUGGCUUUCAAGUUCAUCCACACAUCUGCCAAGUUAGAUCGUCAUAGUAAGCAUGCAUAUAGACUAAAUGGAAAAAUAAUGAAAGGAAUCCAAUAGAAGUAAAAUCUAAAAUGUGGAAGAUAACUAUCAUGGGCAAAGAAAAUAUUUACAAUAUUUGUAUAUUUUUUCGAGAAAAGACAAUAUGUACUUAGACAUCAUUAACAUUAAACCACCAAGCUUCACAACAACCAGCAAAGACAGCAUCGCAUGACCAUCAAAUAGUAAUAGUAUGCAAGUGAAGUGCAAAUCAUAAUAGCUGCAUUACCUAGACCAAUUAUAUGCAGCAUUUCCUUCUGAUACCAAACCUUCCUUUCCGGUAGAUACUGUAGCCUUUUCCAGAUGUCUAAUAUUUAUUGAUGAUCGUGAAGACGUGACAAUCAUUAAGAUUGACAACCAGUGCUUCCGUAAAUCCUGCAGCCAUAAGACAACGAUCAGUAUAAAAUAAAUGCAAUAAGAAGAUUCACAAAGCUGUCGUAUGUGAUGAUUACCUAUAUAAUACCAAGGUACUUAAAAGAAUAAUCCAAUCAGGAGAAAAAAAACUAAAAUCAAAUCAAAUGAGGACUUGCCUUAUAAAUAUUCUGAUUAAGAUGAUAGCUAAUGACUGAUCUAAUGGCUCUUCAUGGUUUCAAAUAUCGUGGUAUUUAAAACCAAACGCACAAAUCAAACGCACAGAACCAAACCAAAGCUUCCACAAGUUUGAUGCUUUUACAGUUUGCUUUCAAUCUACGAAACGAACAGCUUUCUUCAUAAGCUCUGUUUGAUCUAUAUAUUUCUAUGAAAGCACUAUUUUAAUGGGCCCGCAGAUGUAAUGGCAAAACUAUCAACUGCUUUUAGUGUGAAGAGUAGACCAAAGUUCCAAAACUUUUUUGUGAUGUGAGAAGAAAUACCAUUAGGUCUGUUAUGGACCAUGCAAAAGGAGACAAAAAUGACUGAUACGUAGUAGUACAUCUGUUAUGGACCAUGCAAAAGGAGACAAAAAUGACUGAUACGUAGUAGUACAGCAUAUAUUUCUUACAGAGAGAUCACAUGUAAUUGCAGAGAUGUUUUCCCCUUGAGGCUUUGGAAUGUUCUCGAGACAAUGUACAACUUGCUGAAACAGGCCCUUCAAGGUAGAAUCUAAGUCAAGAGCGACCAUCCCUGGGGUACCAAGUAAAAAUCGGAUUCUUCCAGCACAAGAUGAUAGGUAAGAAAGAGCAUAACCUUUUAUUGCUGCAAUAAAAAAAAAGAUGCUUGUAAGCAUUGAUGCUUGAAAUGGUAUCAUUCAGUUCAACUUGCACUCUUAUUAUCAACAAAAGCACAUUAUGCGGAAACAAUGAAAUUAGUGACCUAGUUAAGUUUAGAUUUAUACAACAGAAAGUAAUUUAGAUAUUUGUUAUCAACUCUAACAUAAAUUCUAGUGCAUUAUAGAUGUCUGAUUGUUCCAUAAACUCUCCAAGCAUCUUGACUAGGACACUUAAUAUAGCUUUAAUGUAAGCGCUGCUGUAGAUUAUCUGAAGGCUUCACCACAAAUUUGGAGUUAUAAGGUCAUAAAUUACCCUUCUCCGAAGGGCGUAUUGAGCAUGAGAGAAGAAAAUGGGAAAAAAAAGAAGAAAAAGAACAGUUCAAUGAACUACAGGGAGUUGUCAAAGUAUAUGGGAGUUGAACCAUAGUUCUCAAGAAGCAAUAUAUCUUCUGACCCUUUUGAUUGUAAGAGUCAAAUUCCAGUUGAUCUGGAUGACAGUUUCUAUACUCACUCAUUGAAGUGUUGUUCUUCCAUUUGAGAUGAAUGAGAAUAAGCAGCGAAAGUGCAGAUCUAUGUCCAGCUAUAUUGUAGGAAGUUUGACACCAAAACAUCACAACAAUAAAGAGUUCCCAAAAAGCGCAAAAGUGUUCAAUAGCCUCCGACUGUAAAUAAAAGUUUCUCAGAUCAACCUGCUAUGUAUUUUCGAACUAAACAACACAGCUUGUCCAUUCCGUCUAGAAGGAAACCAAUAGUUGGGUCUGCUGCAUCCUGCAAGCAUAACAUGAACAACAACUAACAAAAGAAGAAAGGAUAAUCACAGGAUAACUGUGACACCCCAAUAGUCCCACAUCGGAUGGGAAUAGGAUUGUCAUUUGAUUUAUAAGAGACUUAGACACUAGUAAUAAUAACUGGGCUUAAGCAUUUUGGGCUGUUGGCUGGGCCCAACGAGUUAUUAUUGCUAGUGGGCUGGGUCGUUACAAUAACUAACAACAGCAGCAGAAUUUCAAAGAAAAACUAUGACUUACAAUAUCAACAGGUUUCACCCGAACCACUUUAGUAUUUGACGAUGAAAUGCCAACAAGUUGAAAGUACCAGAUGAUUUCCGAUUGAGCUAAAGCAAGUGCAGAAAAGAGCAUCUGUACAGUAUGUUGACAAAAUUGUGAAAAUAUCAUAGAAUACAGAAUGAAAAGAAUGUGGGUACAUAGAGAGGCAACAGAAAAGUCUGAGCUAGAGUCUUCCAUGCUGUGAAACAUUGUAUAUGACAAACCAAUAUCUAUUUUCUAGUUUUCAAUCGUAAUGACUUUCCAAAGCACACCAGAAGCAAAGAUUAAAUUGUUUAUUGAGAAGGAAAAAUUACGAACAAAUGUCCAAUUCAGUGGAAUAGCUUAAUAUUGUAUUUCAAAAGGUUUCCAAUUGUUGAAUGAACUAAUAGUUCAAUAAUUCUAGCUUGCUUGCGUGCACAAGUCUAAACGCUCCUUAGCAAUUUCAGUAGUAAAAGUAAAUAAUAAGAUUUUUUUAAAAUAAUAUUUAUGCAAGUCUUACAGACUAAAAGAAAGAAAAAGGGAUGAUCUGAAUCAGGUGUUCAACAUAACCAGAAUGCACUCAAUGCAGUGCAUUUACCUGAAUAUUAGGAGCCAAUAAACUAGGCUGGUCAGCAAAGAAUAAAACCAUCCUUCCAAUCUCUUGCUUCAGUAAAAUUCUCCUUUCACGAUGUAGAGCUUCACAAGAUAUAAGUGCUUGUUCAUGCACUUCGCUACAAAAGGCACCAUUAGUGAGAAGUACUAUUGAAAUAAAAAUCACAAAAUUGAAAAAAAUAUUAAUUAAGAGGUAAAGAUGUUCACAAAUACUGCAAUGAACAGAAAAAGAAACAGGAAGAUGAAUUGAACCGUGCAAUGAAGCUGAAUGUAUAUUCUUCUCUCAAAAAAAAGAAGCUGAAUGUAAAUUCAACUGUGUAAGGCAAGCAAGUUCAAACAAUUUCAACUGCUCCCCCUUCUCUAAUGAAUACAAGAAGAAAAAGUCCAUUGUUUGACCGAUCAGCGGUAGAAGAAAAAGAAUUUAAAAACAACACUAUAAUCUGCUGCUCUGACAACAAAAAGUUCAAACCCUUUUCACGGCUCAAUCUUCUUUAAUGGAUGGGGCAAUGGAUGGGGCAACCAAUUACGUUGUUUGAGUAGUCAGGAGGAGGAAAAGAUGUAAUAAAUAAAAAUUAAAAAAUCAAAAAAAAAAAAACUUUUGAUGAUCUCACAUCAGCUCGUAAGAGGGAUUAGUGAAGUUAUGCUACAGGAAAGCACCACUGUUGGUAGGAGCAUAUCUGUAUAUGAAACAUUCAAAAGGAUGGGGAUAUUUACAACUGGCAUCUCUAAGCAUCAAAAUACUUGAGAUCUGAGAGAAAAAAUGCUAACAUUGUGAUGGUAAACGGUUCAUUGGGCUCGAGUCCGACUCGAGUCAGAAUUGACUGCGACAAUCUUUACCAAAUAGAGUCCGAUGGAAUUCAAUUAGGAAUUUAUUUUUAUUUGAUAUUUUGUUUAUUAUGUCCAAUGGAUCAUAGAAUUUAAUUAGGAAUUUAUUUUUAUUUGACAUUUUGUUUAUUAUAUCUGAUCAGGAUUUUAUUUGUAAUCUAGUUAGAAUUGAUUUAAGAUUCAGUUAGGAUUUAGUAAAUCAGGGAAGCUUUAGUUGAAUUUAGUUUCUUCUUCUUACCAUAUCAAUAAUAUGCCCUUCUUCUAGAUAAUCACUAAUAGCUGUACUUACCAAUACAAAAAAUGAUUCGUAUUUCGGUUUAUUGAAAUUAUAUGGAAUUUUGAGAACCUUGUUUAAUAUAUAAAUAUGAGUAAUUAGCCUCAUUGUAAUGUAUAAUGGUUUAAGAACUAAGAAAAACUUUGUUUGGAGAAAUUUUCUCGCAAAUUGUUCCUUCAUGUGAGGCAAAGUAUGGACAAAGUCUGGCCGAAGUGAUUCCGAGCGGGAGAGAGUCCCGCUUUAUAUUACUCGUCCAUUUCAUCUUCUUUCUUUUAUUCCAACCGUUGGAUUUAUUAUCAGGCGACAAGCAUCGUUGAGAUCAACUUAUCCGCGUGGGACUUGUUAGAAAUUACCGGCACAAAAGAAAAACGCAGCUAAAAAAUAAAAUUGCACUUUUAAAUUUUUCAAAAACCAAGACCAUAUCACGUAGCCGAAGAACAAAAAUCAAUCCAGUGCCAGCGGAUUAUUCUCAUGUUACAAUGUGAAAAAAAAAAAAAAAAAAAAACUAAACUAAACUAAAAUCAGAUUUAAUGUUUAGAAUAUACCAUCUUGGACUAUAAUAAUUAGAAUUACAUUCUCGCUCUUGUGAUAUGCCCUCGUGCAAAACUGUAUUAUGUUGUUUUUCCUGGAUGAAAUUCAAUGUAUUGGUUUUGUUUACGCUUUGGACGGAUAGGGGAAUCUCUGUCCAUUCAGUGGGUCCGUACACGCGCCCACAUAGCCUCUGUUGUGCGAUGGGGCGGGCGUGACACCAUCUAUAUUAGGCUUUUAGGGCUUUUUUUGCAUUUGGCCCCCUCAAAAUAUAUUAUUUACAAAUAGUCCUAUCAAAUUUAUAAUUACAAAUUUGGCCCUAUCCUUGCCACGUAGCCGCCACAUCAGCGCCGUGGUUUUAAAUUGAACACGGUGAACCAUUCACCGUGUUUGAUGUGGCGCCGUGGUUUUAAAUUGAACACGGUGAACCAUUCACCGUGUUCAAACACGGUGAAUGGUGAAUGGUUCACCGUGUUUCAUACCUAUAUUCCCCCCUUCCCCCUUUUCAAUACUUAUAUUUUUUCGCAAUGCAAUACAUAUAUAUUAUAUUUUUCCCAAACAAGGUGAACCAUUCACUUAUUUAAAAAUAAUAAUAAUCUUUGAAUGCUUUAGAUAAAUAGAGGGUUAAGAUUGAAAACUGAAAUGAAUAAAAAGGAAUAGUUUAAAAAGUCUAAGAUAAGGUGGUGCAUUAGGCCCAAGCAACAAUUUCCCCUUCCCUCCACUACGUUUUGUUGGGAAGAGAGUAAUUAUUGCCUAAAUUUAGUCCACCAUGUCAUUCGUGGACCGUCCAAGUAAUCGACUAAUAAUAGAAGGAAUAUCUAAUAAUUAUUAACUUAAAGUAAAAUAUUAUAUUAAAUAUGUAAUACAAUAUUUAAAUAUUUUUGGUACUAUUGGAAUUUUUUUUCGAUGCGUAUUUUAGAGUCAGCCCACGGUGCACCGGGUGUGUCCAAUAUUUUUCUAGGACAUGUUGCAAGCUCCGAUUGGUUGAGACUUUAAUUGUUGACGUGGCUCUCUAAGAAACCGGAAAAUCCACGGAAUUUAGUAUAUAGUUAUAGACAAUGAGAACAAAUGACAGCAAAAUGAAAAACAUACUAAGUAAAAGUAGUGUUUGAAGUUUUUACUUGUUGCGCAUCAGUAGAUUACAAGGGCAUACCUUAACAUUUUUUCGACUUGCUUUGCAACAUUGUACUCCAAAUCUGCUUCCUUUUGUUUCGCGCGUCCAGAUUUGGCCAUUUUCUUUGAUUCUACAAUCCUCGGUAGAACAUAAAGUUGAUAUUCUUCAUGUAGGAGCACAAACUACACAACCAAUACAAAAUAUGCUCUAUCAGGAUGAGUAAAAAAGUGACAAGUGUAAGGACCUGUUUGGAUGCACAGUAAAAAAUCUCCAUGGAUUUUAUAAACUAUGAUUUUGGUCCAAAUGAAAUAAGGAAUCCUGUAACUCCAAAAAAAUUCCACGGAUUUAAUUUUUAAACUGUUUGGAUACGCAUUAUGCAAUUUCACGAGAUUUAUCUAAAUUUUAAAAUUAAAAGUUAAAAUUUCAAAUUUCAAAUUUCAAUGAAAUUUAAAAUUUAAUAUUUAUAUGUGAAAUGUGAAAUUUUAAAUUUUAAAUUUUAAAUUUUGAAAAUUAAAAAUUUAAAAAAUAAAUAUCUAAAUUUAAUUUAUAAUUUUCAAAUUUAAAAUUUUAAAAUAAAAAAUUUUAAAUUUUAAAUUUAAAAUUUAGAAUUUAGAAUUUAAAAUUUAAAAAAUAAAUUUAAAAUUUAAAGUUCAAACUUGAAAUUUGAACUAUGAGAUUUGAGAUUUGAAAUUUCAAAUUUGAAAUUCAAAAUUUAAAAUUUAAAACUUUUAAAAUUUAAAGUCUGAAAUUUGAAAUUUAAAAUUUAAAAUUUAAAAUUUAAAUUUGAAAUUUGAAAAUUAAAAUUUGAAAUUUAAAAUUUAAAAUUUGAAGUUUAAAAUUUGAUAUUUCAAAUUUAAAAUUUGAAUUUUGAAAACUAAAAUUUAAAAUGAAAUUUGAAAUUCUAAAUUUGAAAUUUGAAAUUUGAAAUUUAAAAAUUAAAUUUGAAAAUUAAAAAUUUAGAAUUAAAAAUUGAAAUUAUAAAUUAAAAAUUUUAAAAUUUGAAAUUUAUUAUUUGUAAACUUAAAUUUAAAAUUUGAUAUUCGAAAAUUAAAAUUUGAAUUUAUAAUAUUAAAAAAUUUAAAAUUUAAAAUUUGACAUUUAAAUUUUGAAAUUAUAAAUUUUAAUUUUUGAUAUUUCAAAUUUAAAAUUCAAAUUUUAAAAUUGAAAUUAAAAGUUUGAAUAUAAAUUAAAUUGUAAAAUUUAAAAUUUAAAAUUUAAAAUUUAAAAUUUAAAAUUUAAAAUCUAUGUUGAAAUUUAAAAGUUAGAACUUAUGCAUCUUGCCUAAGAAUGGUGGAAUUCUUUUCCUUUGGUUAGAGUGGAUUAUAAUUUUACUCCAUUUUUUCGAGUAUAGUUUAUUAUACUCCAAAAAUUACGGUAUUUUUUUUUCUUCCAAACACUUGAUAGGAUAAAAUUCCUACCGGUGUAUACGUUUUUAAGGGUAACCAAACGGGGCCUAAGCCUUGAAAGAACUCCUUACCUCAUCUCUGAAUAAAGGGAGAAUCAAAUUCUCCUUAAGAACAACCUGAAAUCAAAAGAACAGCCCAUGUAAGAAGCCAAAAUUAUCCAUCGUUAGAAAAAGUGGCAGCCGAAAAUAUAGCAAUGGCUGCCUAUAGCAAUCUUCUGAUGAAGAUACAUAAUAUAGAGAUAUUAAGUGUAAAGACAUGAUUUAGAAUCCUAGACACAAAAGCUGCUACACAUAAAGGACAAGCAUACAUAGCUUAUGCAUGAAUAGCUCAUGUAUAUUUUGAAAGAUUCUUAAGAUCUCACUAAUGAACCAUCCAUUUGAUGAUCAGUUAGUAGUUAACAAUUUGUGAAACUCUCCAGAUCAAUUAAUAUUUUGGCACCACAUGUGCUAUAUAUGAUUAUGUACAAUGUAAUCACAAUAAUCGACCCUAUAAAAUCUGACUUGGUUAUGUUAACGGGACAUUUUAGCCAUCUACUAUUUGUAAAUGUUUCAAUACAAAAAAAAAAGGUUUUUUACAAUGAUGAACAUAAAGAUUAGACUGGAUGUACCAUGGCAAUGUCAAUACUAGUAACACGGAGUAGUUCAUCAGGGCAAACAAGAUAACCAAGAACAACCCACUCCCUGUAUGACGUAACAUUAGCCAGGUCCUGAGCCCUCUGAAGGAAACAAAGAAUAAUGCAGUAAGAAUCUGAUUCUGGAAACAGGAAAUGAUGAAUGAUCGCACUAAAGAAAGAAAAUUACAACAGGUUAAAAGCAAUUAAAUUACUUUCAGAAACAAGCAUACCAUAGGGUGAGCAGAGUUUGUUAGUAUGUCGGGGUAACGAGGGUGAAAUGGACUUAAAAAUCCCUCAUUUCUUAGUUUCUUUGUAUCCGUAGAAAGAAAAAUAACAGGUCCUAUAGCCUCCAAUACCUGAGGAGAGAAUUUUCGGGAAAAAAAAAACCUAAAAGAAUAAGACAAUGUAUACAGGAGAAAUUCAACAUAAAACCACCACUAGAAAUACAGCCAGCAAAAAUAAAUCAAAUUGUUGAAGUAUAUGCAGCCUCCACAAAUAAAAAGGAAGCACAGUAGUAUAUUGCAAGUAAGAGCAUUAAGCUCUAACACAAAUUACAUUUCAUUAAGUGAAGCAUAAUAUUUCUUUAGAUUGCUCAAGAAAGGCCAACUAACAUGAAAAUUAUGUAGAUUUAGCAAAGAUUUUGGGAACACAUUAGGCUCUAAGGUGGUUUCUCGUGUAAGAGGUUGUCUUUCAGAGAUUUACAUAUGUAUUCAAGAAAAGUCCUGUAUCACAUCCUUUUCCACAAAUGAUCUAUAGUGUUACCAUUUAAGUAAGCAACCAUCGCAGAACAUUUCCGAAAUAUCUAACAAUAUUUCCAAAUUCACAAUUCAAGCACAUCAUAAUAAUAAGAUAAAGAAGUAACAUAGCUAUUAUGGAGUUCAAAAUAUCUACAUAGUGACAAAAACUCUGAGAUAAACAUGAAUUGGUUUAGGCCAGUUCCAAUACAAAGCUCAGGCUAUUGUCUUUAGUGAAAACGACCAUAACGAAGGCUUGGCAGCAUAGCAUCUAACCCAAAAUAAGCCAAAUCUAGCUUGUAGGAUGUGACACCUCAAUAGUCCCACAUCGGAUAGUUAUAACUAGAUGUGAUAGUAUAUAAGCUUGAUUGGGCUAAACAUAAUAACUGGAUUUAAGUAUUUUGGGCCGGUGUUUGGGUUCAACGAGUUAUUAUUGCUAGUCGAUUGGGUCAUUACAUUUGGUAUCAGAGACAGUUCACCAGCCGAAAGUGUGAGAUGAGUCUUGGCUGAGCCAGGGUCAAAAUGACAGACUAAGCUAGGGUCGGUGAUUGACAGGCUAAGUCAGGGUCGGAAUGACAAAGGCUAGUGAGACAAGUCUCACAUCGCCUGGUGAUCUUGGGCUGUGUGUGUGUUUAGAGCUAACAAGGACGUCAGGGCCUAAACGGUGGGAGUCUGUGACACUCCAAUAGUCCCACAUCGGAUAGUUUUGACUAGAUGUGAGGGUAUAUCAGCUUGACUAAGCUAGACAUAAUAACUGGGCUUAAGCAUUUUGAGCCGGUGGUUUUGGCCCAACGAGUUAUUAUUGCUAGCAGGUCGGGUCGUUACAUAGGACAAACAAGGCUCAAAUGGUCGGAUUUGCUUUCUGCUAAGGUUCUUUCCUCACCAAAAUGAAAUGUUUUAGUCAAUUCAAUAGAAUAUAUUCCAACAUGUGACUUGGUUUGAAUUAGUUCCCAAUUUGGAGGAUGAAUGACGAAAAGACUGAUACCAUAAUCCAAAGUUUGCCGUUUCACUCAAAACCACCAAAGAUUUCUCCACUAUCAAAGCUUUUUAGUGCAUAUUUAAUUGGAAUUUAACGAGGUGGAUUAGAAAAAGAAAUGAAAAUAGAAACGAGAUUCAGCAUUGAUAUCUUGUCCUCCAAAACUCUUCAAAUGCUUCUCACAAGGUAACAAGUCAAGUUUUUCCUGUGGAAAAGUUACUGGCAAACCAAAACAAGUGAGACUAUUCCAUGUAAUUGAACAAUGCAAAAUGACUAUAAAGAAAAAGAAACGCAACAAAUUUCUAUUGAUUUCUUGAAAACAGACAGCUUCUGCCAAAGGGCUGCUUUUAACUCAAAACUACAAACAAAUAACCAAAAAUGGGCUACUGCCUGUUUCGGAUCGACAGCCUGGUGAAAUAUGGAUCGCCUCCUCAUAAAUAUCACCAUUUUGUAUGUCCCUGUAGUUUAUAGUUCUUUGAAAACUAUUAAUCUUCUAAUUGUGUAUAAAAACUCAUUAACUGUGUCACUUUUUCUCCGGGGAUUGCAGAUAUUCUUCAUAGUUCAAUUGGUUAUACAAAUGAAUAAACUAAGCAUACUUUAAUAACCAUCCAGACGGAUCUUCUCAGGUUUCAAUCACCAAUGGGAAUCUUGCAUUGAAAUUUACUAUAGAGUCAAAACUAUUAGCAAGUUUCAAUCAUCUGACAAAAGUGACAUUAGAUAAACCCUGAAAAUGAGAGCUCAAUUUAUCAGUUGCAUAAGGCAACAAUACUUCUCGAAUUAAAGGAAAAAAGGCUCUAUAAAUAAUGCAUAAAACAAAAUUGGCAUUUGAAAAAAAAGUGACUAAAACAAAUACUCAAGAAAAUUUAAUAUGCAUCACAUUUGGUAUCAAUUAAAAGCAGAGGAUAGGAGCAUGACCUCUCCAAUCCGUGGGCUGACAAAAUUGAGGUCCUCUUGCAACCCUUUCACAGGUGGAUCAUACGAGUCCACAAACUGAACCAAUCUGCAAAGCCAGAAAGUGGAAAUCAAGAAAGUAAUCCAAUUAAGAAAAGGUGUCACUACAAAGAACUCGUUCGCCAUCAAACUGCAAAAUACAUCAUUCAACAAGAGAAAAUAUGUAAGAAUGAUCCGACCAUGUGUUAAUUAUAGUUAUUGCUCAGCAAGUCAUAUGGUGUAUAGCUGAUCAGAUGUUGCAAACCCAAACAAUUAUAAUAUUGCUUUAAAAAAUUGCAGGUUUCAUGAUUUAGAUUUCUUAUGUCAGCCCCAUAUGUGACAAGAUGAGGAAAACUUAUUCUAAGCCAAUUUUAGACCACAAAAAUGUCUAACAAAAUGAGCCCUCCCUUUCCCACUAUGAGGACCAUAAGAAACCCAAGAAAUCCGGGUAAAUGGUCCCAUUUGUAAAAGAUAACUCUUCAUUCCCUUUAUAACCAGCUAUUUUUAGCUUAAACAAAAACACCUCUUUCCAGAAACAAAGUAACCUACCAAUUCACUUCAAAUAAAUAGAUCAAAAAAAUGAUAGCGCUAGUAUAGGUUACAAAACCAUAUGAUGGAUAUCCACCAGAAUGAGGAACCAUAUCAUUUAACCAUAUCACUUAAACUAUGAACCUUUGGUAACACAGAUAGUAAAUGCUAUGGAUAUCCUAUCUUCGAGAUUGCGCAGAUCCUUCCAAAUAAGUUUUAGAAGCAUCUCAGUUAAAGAACACAAUAAGAGUAAGUUACGGAUAAAUUUUGGGAAAGAAAAAGUAUUAGAAAAUUAAGUGCAUGAACUAAGAACACCACUUGUAAAUUUGUAUAAGGGUACACUCAAAGUAGCUAUCCUACCGAUGAUAAAACUCACAAUCUCGCCCACCCUUUAGCAUGUAGUGCAAGAGAUUGUACAGCUGCAGGAUCAUUUUUCUAGGUAUCUGAAGAAAGAAUGAAUUAGAGAAGAAUAAUAAGCAACUACUAAGUAAAAUAGUAUGAAAAAGUUACAAGAUAAUAGAAAAGGCAGACUGGAAAUGUAGAAAGAGGUAGGUUACCUUGUCCGAGAAAAGAUUUACUCGGACAAAUGAACAAAAGAGAUCCAUAAAAGCAUGUAGGAUUAGAGAAUUUUGAUGGGGCUGCAAAGGAAAGAGACUCACAAUCAGAACGUUGACAAAGGUAAAAACAAUGUAUAGCGCUAGGGAAGGAUUGCAUACUAGCAAUGUUAUAACUGUGCUGCUUAAGUCCAAGAUUAGCCGCAGAGCUUGUUCACGAAAUGCCAUUAAAUCAAGCAACAGCUGAUGACAGGCAAAUGAAAGAAAAAAACAUCAUCUGCUUAGUUAUUCAUUUAAUGAAUAAGGCAUUAUAUUGGUUAAAACAUGUAAAUUACUACCAUGGUUUGUUACUUUAUCUUCGUAAAUGAUAUGCAAUAGUAAGGUACCUUUUGGAAAACUCAUUUUUAGUCAGUUUAUAUAUGAUGCACAAAUUAUUAAUUUCUAUUUAACCAAGAAAUAUGGGGCUAUAAUAGGAAUUAAGAUAUUACAUUCAAACAUCAUAUGGGGUUGAUAUAUGAAGCAUGGAUACUUCAAAUUUCAUGUCGUUCCCAUGUCGGACAUGUAUUGGAUACCGACACUCGCCCGAUACAUGUUAGAUACAGAAAUGAAGUAUCUGACAUUUUUAAAACAUAAAAAAAUGUAUCAAACACAGCUCGGAUUUGAGAGGGAUAUAGAGGAAUAUGGGAGGGAUAUAGCCAGGUUCUUUUUUGGUGUCAAAUGAUUAGAACUCAGAAUUUUUCGAAAAACCCACAUCCAAACCUAUUGGAAAUAAGGAAAAAGAAUGAGAAAAAUGUCGAUCUCUUUUCAAUUUAUCAUUUCUUCUAUCUUUUUGCUCUUGGAUGGUUGAAGGCACUCUCUCUUGUUCUAUCUCCGCACAGUAUUAAGCUAUGUUUCAGUCCUUUACCGCUUCUCUUUUACUUUCUUUCAUCCAAUUUGUCAACCUAGCAGUAAUCAACAAAAGACAUAGAGAAUGAUUUUUUUCUUCUAUUACAUUAUUAGCAUAUUUUCUUUUAUUACUGUGUUAUAUAAUAGAACCUAAUAGAAUAGACAUAUAUGUUGAAUGACUAAUUAUCUAUUUUGUGCGACUAAAUAUCUAUUGUCAUCAUUUGAUCAAGUUGGAUGCCAGUUAGUUGAUGCUUUUUGAAUUAUCAUUUCAUAGGAUUGAUUGUCUUUUUUUAUGAAGAAAUAUAGAACAAUUAUACAAGCCAAUCUAUAUCAGAACAUAUUCCUUAAUAUAAUUCAGGUAUCUUGAUUAUCUCAAUAUAUCAUUACAUGUAAUCAACAUAUAUUUAAAUAUAUGUAAAAUAAUAUUUUAUUCAAGCAUAUCUCGUGUGAUAUACCGAAACUUCGGUAGAAACUAUCGAACUUUAACCAAAUUGGUCAAAGUGUGAAGUUGGAAUGCUUCGGAAAGGUCGAAUGCGUCAAAAAGGCAUUAAGUGCAUUGUAGGGAGUCUUCGAGAGCAAUGAGAGUGAAAAUCUGCAAACUACAGAUUUUCUGCUCUCGGGGACCGGUCCCUGGGGGGAGAGACCGGUCCCCGUAAGCGUGGGAAUGGCAAACAGCCAGUCUGCACAAAAUAUGCUCUCCGGGACCGGUCCCUCAGAAGAAGACCGGUCCCUCAAGAGGUCCGGUCCCUCAGGGGAAGACCGGUCCCCCGCGCGCGAAGAUGGCAAAGGGUGCUCUCGGGGACCGGUCCCUACUAAAGAGACUGGUUCCCGUGCCCGAUAAUGGCCCAGUCUGGGCAGUGUGUUGGGACGAAAGUUGAGGGGCCCAAAUGCAAUUAUGCAUCAAGUGGGAUAUGUAUUGGGGGUAAAUGAGAACUUUCUCUCAUUUCUCUCCCUCACAACCAAACCUAAAGAGCUCUUUCUCUCUCUAGGAUCUCUCCCUCUCUCUCUCAAAGGGGUGGAGCUAGAAGGAGGCUUUGGUGGAGAAGAAAACAAAGGAGUGGAGCAACUUCCUCUUCUUCCUCCUAGGUUCAGGGGAAAUUCCGUCCGUUCAGCGGGUCUGUUGGCGUCUCAGUGGGCUUUUGCUGUGGAAUUGGGGCUUGACAUAUGCUGUCAAUUGGUGGCCCAAUUCUUACAUGCACCUUGUGAGCUACCACCUCUAUGGAUUGUCAAAUGCAAUUCUCAAUUACAGUCGUGGCACCUUAUUGUAUGGCCUCCAAUUCUCCAGCUACAAUAAUCCCUCUCUUAUUGCAUAUUCUAAUGCUAAUUAGGCAAGUUGCCCUCACACUUAUCUUUCCACUUCUGGCUUUUGUGUCUUUGUCGGGUCAAGCGGCCCGAUUAAUCGGACCCAUUGGUUUAGUUUGAUGGGAUUUACAUAUCGAAUUCAUAACCAAAACGAACUAAUAUUUCUUACUUUAUUUGAACUAUUUUAUUACCAUUAAGAAUAGAUCUAUAUUGGGAUAAUUGUAUUUUAAUUUUCUUUUUUGUUAGAAAUCAGGAUUUAGUUAGGAUUUAAUUAGAAUUUGAUACAUAGUAGGAUUAAUGAUUUCUUUCCAUAUUCGUAUUUUUAAUAGUAUUAGACUAGAAACUCUAUAUAUAAGGCCUCAAGCCUCUCUUGUAUAAUGAUGAUGAUGUAUAGUUUAUUAUUCAAUUUACAAAAGAUGAUUCGGUGCCUUCAUGCACGGCCGAUCUUUUAGUUUCCUUCACGAAAGAGUCACCCUAGAGAGUGUCCAGUACCGGAUUAAGUCCGUUACAAGAGUGACUCCCUAAUUAUCUUCCUUAUCUUCUUCAUUUUUUUUCUCUUUUAAGUUUUUUUAAUUUUUCCUAUAUUUUUCUUUAAUUUUCAUAAAUUUUCAUACAUUUUAAUUUUUUAAUUCAGAAAAUUCUCAAAAAUUGAAAAAAAAUUCAAAAAUAAAAAAAUUUUGAAAAUCAAAAAAGCAUUCAAAUAGUUAUAAAUUUUAUUUGGAGCCCACCAAAAUGUAGGAUUCUAUAUCCCAUCCUACAUUACUAACCUUACUAUUCGUCCGUCAAAAAACAACCUACUAUUUUUCAGUUAAGUUGCAAAACUAAACAUCGUUCUGUUGCCUUCACUCUUACUUAAACUACUUAGAUUAGUUGCCUUCUUCGUGAUCUUGAUGUGUCACUAGGGUGCCCUAUCUUCAUAUACUAUGAAAAUCUCAGUACUAUAUGUAUUACUACUAAUCCAAUCCAGCAUGCGCACAUCAAGCCCUCUGAGUUUGAACAUCAUUUCCUACGAGAAAGUUCAAGACAGUGACCUUUCUCUAUUUUACAUCUCAUCUGAAAAACAACUUGCAAACAUCUUCACAAAGUCGUUGACCAUCUCACAUUGUUUUGCACUUUGUACCAAUCUUCACAUCUGGCCACAAGAUGCUCAGCUUGCGAGGGAUGUUAUCGGAGAAAUAUUUAUGUUAACAUAACAAGCUUUGAUACUUAUUGUAUAUAAUUUAUAUGUAUAUUCUUAUCUGUCAAACUCUAACUCUACAUAGCGGUUGUACCCUAUAAUACUCAAACACAGACCCUAUAUGGGCCCCUGCAGUUUUACCAAAACUUUCAAUAGCUAACAAAACUACCAUACAAAAGAGAGCCCCAACAGUUUUAACAAAACUUUCAAUAGUUAACUAAACUACUAUACAAAGAAAGAGUCAAAGUGUUGUCGAGACUAUUUUUAAUUGGAUGCAGGGAAAAGCAUUUUAUUUAAUUUUAUUCCAUAAAACCUAACUAAACUGAAUCAAUUGCCACACUGGUUUUCAAAAUAUGUCAAUGCUUUUUGUACUCCAAAGUUCCUUAUGCAGAAACAAAUUUCAGAUCUAUCACCAAAAGAAAGUACUGAGAGUAUUAUAAUUUAUAUUUAAUCAUAAACAAUACAUUAAACCGCCCUCAUUAUAAAGUCCUUCCAUCUAUUUUGACAAGAGAUACGAGUUGUUGCGAGAGGACGGAAAAGUAGUAUGGCUUUUAGUUGACUAAUAGAAACUAAGGGACAAGUACAACAGAAACGCGAAAGUACCAAUCAAACAACCAACAGAUUAGCAAUAAAACGGAAAAUGAGGCACUACAUACCAUGACCCAUGGCUCUAGGUUUUGAAAAUAACCUUCAGCAUUUUCAUUCAAACCGUCAAGAGCCAGCUUAUCAACCUGCAAGAUAAUUCUAUUGUCAUGUCAAAACUAUUCAUUAAUUAGAAAGUUCGCUAAAGACUUGAAUCAUAUCUUACCCGCUCAAGCUGCAAUUUGUUUGGAUGCUCUGGAAAUUUCUUCGAAAGGAGUAUGCAUAUUUUCGGAAAGUUGGGAAUAAUGCCAGAUUUCCAAAAUGUAUCAGAAAAUGUAUGUGAAGCAAGAUCUGGGUAGUCUAGAAUAGUGUUCAAUUUGUACAUUUUAGUUAAUAAGCCCUCUGCAACUUUUGUUAGUUGGACCACCCAUUCCAUUUGUAGAGUCUUCUGGGUGGUUCCAGACCCUGGAGGCCCAUCAGUGCCCACAUGCUUCCAACUGGUCGCUGUCGAAGGUGAUGACUCUUCGAAAUUUAGGUAAUCAGACCAUCUAGAUAACCCAUCCCCGUCCUUCGAUUUCAUGGAUCUGGGAGAUGUGUCUUGAGAUAGGACCUGCCUAGGUCUUGCCAUGUGAGUUCAACCCUGCAACCACAUUUAAGUUAAUAACUUGAAUCAGAGAAGAUAUUAGAACAUGCACCAGCAUCCAUCCCAUAUUAUAUAUAUAUUAGGAAAAGGAAAGCAUGAAGAAUAUCAUUUUUACUAUGAAAAUGGUGUCCUAGUCGCUCCCUCACUAUACCAACACAUUAGCUCAAGUCAAAAGGAGCAUUGUAGGGGUAUAAUGAUACAAUAUCCUAAUCAUUGCCUUAUUAUUUCAGGCUUUCAAUUUCUCUUCCAGAUUGAAUGGCCAAAGUCAUUACUUUGUUUUAUCUUCUUGAUAGGUCUAUGUGGCUGAUUACAUGAUUGACACACUUCAUGACGUAGGUGCUGGUAAAAGGGGUUUUGACUUAAUUAGGGUUUUGAGUCAUGAAAAUGCCGUAUUCUGAUGUAAAAAAGUUAACCAAAUUGGAUGCAUGAGCUGAAGAGAAAAUUGGAGAAAAACUUUUCAAACUUGAGACUCCGAUGUCUAGAGCAUGGAUAAUACAAUCUAGACUAUUUAGACAGGAGGAUUAUACAGAAUCACAUCAAUCCUAACUUACGUAGAGAAGCAAAUAUUAUCUUUGUUUGGAUUAGAGAGUUCUUGCUUGAGUGCAUCCAUCCCCUAAAGCCUCCAUAUAUAAAAAGUUUGUCAUGCUUUCUGUAACUAACGUAAAUUUUGAAACAAAAUAAACUAAUUUGAAUGUUUUAGCCAUGACGACUCAGAUCUCUCUCUCUUUACGGUAUGACAUCAAUUUCCAGUCCCAAGAGUGCUCCAUCUACUACAUCCUUUUAGCUUCCUUCAACUUUAAGCAUCAUUGAAUUGAGAGACUCUUCCCCUCUAGAAUUAGCAAAAUUUAACAGCAUUGAGCUAAAGAGUCGGAUAAAAAGUCUUCAAAUUUUUAAUCUGGCAACCAGCCAGUCAACCACUUCAUCUAAACUGCCCAAAAGCUAUCCAGUCAACUGCUGACAUUUCAUGCUAUCAAAUGACCACUGUAUUACAGCAAUUAUGCAGCAGAGGAGAGCCCCACUCCACUCCCCUUUACUCGUCUCAUUUCAUCAAUCUUCAAAAACAACAGCAUAACUCAAAUAGCAAUUUGAUAUAUCAAAGUAGUACUUUAGACUAUAUUAAUGUAAAGGUCGCUAAUUUGGCGUGACAAUAGGUUAUGACAUAUACAUAAGCAAUAAUAGAAGAGAUGUGUAUUACUGCCUCGAUGAUUCAAAAGAAAUCAUGUAAUGAUAUAUUGCCAAAGCUAUUCCCUCAUGACUUAAAAUGUGGACAAUUAACUAACAAAUGCCUACUAAACUGGUAGUGCUAAAGGCAUAUAUUUUCUGAAGAAUUUAUUUUAUGGUAAAUAGGAACAUAAUUUCUUGUGUAUGCUCUUGGAAACAAAAGAAUAGGAAUAUUCAACUAAUUAGCCUAUAAAAAUAGCAAUUAUCGGUCCUGCAAGUUUCGUUCCAGACUUUGAUUUUAUACAGUUACUUUGCUAGAGAGAUCCUCCAUAUGAUAGUGAAGCAUUCUCAAAUACUUAGCUUAGGGUCGGUUUGACCCUGCUAUGGGGUGCCUUGCUAUUAGAUGAAGUGACAUCUAAGUAGAGCAUUUAUUCAAUGAAGCAUUAUAUUAUAAUCCCUUUGAUAGAUUGUCUCUGCAGCAAAAGUAGGAGCAUCAAAUUACAGCUCUGCUUUUGGACCUCAAAAUCUCAUUACUGAUUCCUGCUGAAGCAAAAGCACCAGAAUCUUUUGUCCGCUAAAUGCUCCACUGGAGGUGACUACUGUGAAAGGCGGAAGCAAAAGCGAGCAUAAGUAUGUUAAUUUAGCACAUCGAAGCUUAAAGAAUUAGCAAAUUUAGAGCUAAGGCUCAAUUUAAACAUCAUACUGCCGGAUGGUAGAAAAGUAUCGCAUAUUUUACAUACACUUUUGUGACGAACAUAUUUAUUGUUCAUGGGGCAGCUUAAUGGUCCUAAAAGAAUCACUUAACUCCACAUUAACUUACAUAUCUAAAUAUCAAAGAUUGAAUAGAUGUUCUACACAUUUAUGUUAACAAUCAAAGAGAAAACAAAUUGUUAUAAGUUUGGUGACCUUUCUGACUACUUCUAAGGCCUAGUUUAGCAAUGCAUUGCUGUGAUGCACCCACUUUUAUAACUUUAGAAAAGAGUUUUAAUUUCAGAAAGCAUUUAAAAGCUUUCAUCCUCCUAAUCUAGAAAAGGGUGGCAGAAACCACUACCAGAGAAGCAUCCUUCGUAGUUCGCACAACCGUUUGAUAGCACCAGAUGCUUCUCCAGUGGUUGUUCCUACCAUCAUUUCACAGUAUAGGAAAUUCUAAAGCGCUUUCGAAAUUUUUCGGCCCACUAAAGCAUCAAAGUGAGUGCAUUUGGGCAAUGCAUUUUCAAGCCAGGUCCAAAUAUACUAAUACCCAUGCUGUGUCUUUUGCCUUGUAAACAAGUCAAAGGAAAUUCAUUUGAAGAAAAGAACAACACAGGCCUUCUGAAUCGGGCUUAUCAUGAAAUUACAAGGCAUCACCUCUACCGCCGCUUCACCCACCGUACUAAUCUGGUAGGAUCACUUGCAACCAAGGUUUUAUGUGCCCAUCGGUAGCCGUACCGUGCCAACAAGAUACCGGCACGAUAUAGAUCCCAUGCCGAUGGCACGGCUCAAAAUCCUUUAUUUUUUAAAUUAGUAAUUAUUUUCUCAAUAAAGUUCAAAAGAUGUGAUAAAAAUACAUAAUAAAUAGUUAGAAUAUUUUAUUGCUAAAGAAAAUAAAUAUGUCAUACUAUUAUGUGUCGGCAAACAAGAAUUUUUUUGACCGGCACGCAUCGGCACAGCUCGCUCGGCACGCACCGUGCCGUACAUCUGCAUCGCAUAUACAUGAUAAUUGUUGUUGCAUAUAAGCAGCUGACCCAAUUUUAUCUUUCUUGUUUUUUUUUUUUCUCGGCUCUCUCUUACUCUUUUCUUUCCUUUAUCACUUAAAGGAGUAACCUCAAAAUCACCGGGUUCAAGAUUUAUGGUUGCCACAUUGAUGUCUUCACCCGAGUCUCCACUACCUUCCUCUAAAUUACAUGAACGGUAUGGAUCGGGAGGCAUUGUCCCUAAAGCCGGUGUCCAUGCCGUGUCACCUAAAGCAAUGGUUUUCGAAAACAUAACUUGUCGUAGUGCAGCAUUCUCCAACCCCGUGUCACGAAACUUUGCAGUUUCAGAUAGUACCUACAUAUAUUCAUAUGGUUACAUUAUAUUGUAAAUAAAACAUACAGUAUGAAUAAGCUAAAAAUUAUAUUUUAUACUAACCUUUAAUUUCUCCUCCCACCAUUCAAGACUGGCAUCAAUGGUACCCCUUACAUGAUUCCAUCCUAAUCCUGUCUCUUUACCGACUAAUUGCAUCCAUAAAAUCCAAUCCCUUCUAAGAGAAUCUCAUUUAUUUUUCAAUUGUAUUUUGUCAUAAGCUCUAUUUGCUUUCUCUCUAAAUUUAUUAACCACAUUUUGCCAUCCAAUUCUAUUCAAAUGAGUAUUAGGUCGGUUCCCGGCAUUGACCUCUUCAACACAUAUUUCGCAAAAAAUUUUAAGCAAUGUUGCAUCCCACGUAGCUUUAAUUUUUUUUUCUUUUUGGGUAGAUGGUUCUCCUUGUGAUGAAUUCAUCUUUCAGAUUUCUAGUAAACAAAUAUGUAUUAAAAGAUAAAAAGAUAUAAAAAGUCACUAAAUAAUUGAAACAUUCAUACUAUAAAUUUCGCAAAAUAAUUGCUGGAAAACAAAUUCCUAGAUCAUUUACAAUGUAGAAAAGCAAAGGCACAAGAUUGCUUCAGAACCCAGAAAAGGUAAUAAGACAACCAUAGAAUAAUUCUUCCUUAGCUGUUUGUUAACAAACUUGAUUGAUCAACGGCAUAUCACGGAUUAGAUUAAUUUGACUUAAAGCUAAACGUUACCGAUCUCCGAUGCAAUCCCCUAAUCCAGGUUUAAAUAUACUUUAAACUUUGUUUCUAAUCGAAGGCCAAAGAAGAACAUGAAGAUCAAAAGCCUCUUAGUUUAGUUUGUAAUCGCGUCUUUAGCACGUGCUUUCGUUACGGUUUGAUAUUAUUACUAGCUUGAUUCCAAGAGUGUUAAUGCUGAUUAGUUAAAGUAAGAUAUAUUUAUAUCCAAGCAGAUGGGUAAAUAUAUUAUGACAAGUUAAGUUAGGACCCUUUCUUAUCUUGUUUUGAUCUGGAUUAUAGUCAAUGCUUAUAAUGCACCAAACUUGGUAGCUAAAAUCUCCAGUUCUCUAUUCUAUUCAAACUUGGUAGCUAAAAUCUCCAAUUCUCUAUUUAAGUUAGGACCCUUUCCAAGAGUUUGCAGGUAUAUACUUUUCAAAAACUUCAUGUGAGAUGGCCUCCUCUUCGACCACAACCACUCAAUUUCUAGCUUAAUUUUGCUAAGUUCAUCAUCAUGAUGCAGAUCCGACCAAGCCGGCGGGAUCCGUCUUUGCCGGAUCCCGCCGGCGCUGAUCCGAGCCCGGAUCCAGCUCAAAGGCGGAUCCGGGGCCGGAUCCGGCCAAGUCGGCAGGAUCCUUCUUUGCCGGAUCCUGCCGGUGCUGAUCCGUGCCCGGAUCUGGCUCAAAGGCGGAUCCGAGGCCGGAUCCGGCAAAGCCGGAGCCCGCCGGCGCGGAUCCGGCCAAGAGAGAGGUUCGCCGGAGAGAAUCCGGCCAAGAGAGAGAUCCGAGCUGAGUGGUUUAGGGAGAAAAAUCAAGAGAGAGGGAGGGAGAGAAAUCUGUACGAAAAAAAAGGGAGUACCUUGGCUUGGAGGUUCGCCUGAGAGAAAAAAACUCGCCGGAGUUUAUCCGGCGUCGCCGGAGAAAAAGCGUCGCCGGAGAAGAAGGGAGAGAGACGAAGAAGAGAGGAGAGGAGAGUGAUUAGAUGAAGAACAGAGGACAGGAGAGAGGUUUUUUUUGGGGGAGCGGGAGUUGGCUGUGAGUAAUUAAUGGGAGAGGUAUUAUUAAUUAUAAAAGAGUAGAUUGUUUGUUGGCCUUUUUGCAUAAAAAAUUUACUUAUUUUGGGCCUUUGCAAAAUCGGGUCAUCUUUUUUAUUUUUACAGAUUCGGUCCGCUUUUUUUAGCAAACUGACCAAAAUACCCUUAUUAUUUUUUCUCUUUCUUCUUUCUCUCUCCUCUUCGUCUCUCGUUCUUUUUUUUUCCGCCGAAAAAAAAAAAGCGAAGGCCAAGCGGAGCAAUUUUUUCUUCACUUUUUCUUUUUCUUCUUCUUCUUCCUCCUACUGGAGCACCUUUUUUUUUCCCUCUUCUUCUUCUUCUUCUUCUUCUUCUUCCUGUAAGAGCACGGGGCGCUCCACGGCGACUUCCGGCCUCUCCAAGCGGCGUCCACCUGGCGGCGUUUUGCAGGGAGGGGUCGGCACCGACGACCGCGAGCGCCGCGACGAGGGUGGGGGCGCGCGGGAGGCGGGCGGCGAGGUGGAGCGGGGUGUCGCAGCCAGGGACGUCACGCCGGUAGAGGGCAGCGGUCACGCGCGCCGCCCGGCGCUUCGCUCGUGCGGUGUCGGCCACCGUCGCGAUCUCCGACGACUGCUUCUUUUUCUUCGUAAUGGUGUAAUGGAGACUGCGAGAUCGUCUCCGCCUCCGUCGUGGUGGUUGUGAUAAAGAACAAGGGAGAGAUGGUGAGAAAAAAAAAUUAUAGAAAAAAAAUAAAAAAAAGAAAAAAUAAAAAUAAAAAAUAUUUUUUUUCCUAUAAAAAAGAUCAAAAAAUAUAGAAAAAAGAAAAAAGAUGAUAAAAUUGCACUGUUAAAAUGAGAUUACACUGUUUUUUUUUUUAAAUUGCACUGUUUUAUUAAAAACUGCACUAUUAUAUAUAAAAAUUACACUCUUUUGGAAUAAANCGUGGCCGAGGCAGCCGCUCGAACUCGUGGCCGAGGUUGCGGCCGGCGACGGCGAGCGCCCGCCCCAGCACUCGCCGCUCACGCAGGACUUCGCUCCCUCUCCCCCUCGCCCCGCGCCCUCGUCCUCGACUUCUUCUGCAUGAACGCCCUCGACGUCGCCGCCGAGCUCGCGCUCCCCGCCUACUUCCUCUUCACCUCCAGCGCCUCCGCCCUCGCCGUGUUCCUCCACCUCCCCGUGCUCCACGCCCGCUCGGCGAAAUGCUUCAGAGAGCUCGGCGCGGAGCCGCUGCGCGUCCCGGGCGUGCCCCCGCUCCCCGCCGACCACAUGCCCCUCCCCAUUCUCGACCGCGCCGACGAGGCCUACGAGGGCUUCCUCGGCCACUCCCGGCGCCUGGCCCGCUGCGCGGGCAUCGUCGUCAACACCUCCCGCUCUCUCGAGCCCCGCGCUGUGGACGCCCUGAUCGCCGCGGGGCUCUGCGUCCCCGACCACGAGCGGCCCCGACCCACCCCGCCCGUCUACUGCGUCGGCCCGCUCGUCAAAUCCAGCGACCGCACCCGCGGGCGCGGCGAGGAGUGCCUCGCGUGGCUCAACUCCCAGCCCAAGGCGAGCAUCGUGUUCCUCUGCUUCGGGAGCGUCGGGCGCUUCUCCGCGGCGCAGCUAAAAGAGCUCACGAAGGGGAUCGAGAAAAGCGGGCACAGGUUCUUGUGGGUGGUCAGAAGCCCACCGAGCGACGACAACGACGACCCGGAGAAGCGCUUCUUGCCGCCACCCGAGCCGGACCUGGAGAAGCUGCUACCGGAGGGGUUUCCGUACCGGACCAGGGAGAGGGGCAUGGUGGUGCAGUCAUGGGCCCCGCAGAGAGAGGUGCUGGCCCACGAGUCGGUCGGGGGGCUCGGCUACGACAUCGCUCCGCUCCGCGCGGCAGUGCCGGCGCCACGCCGGGCUGCUGGCGAGCUUCGAGGAGGCCCUCGGCCGGCUGCGCUCGGCGGAGCUCCACCCGCGACUCCGCUCCGCGGGCCGCGUGCACCGUUAAUGGUGUAAUUACACCAUUACACCAUUAAUGGUGUAACCAUUACACCAUUAAUGGUGUAAUUGCACCAUUACACAGGCGGGGAUGGCGUCGGGGAUCCAAUCACGGCCGGGGAAGAGCGGCCCGAGGCUGUGGAUGCCUUCCAAAAGCCAAAGGUCGAGAGGGUGGAGAAUUAGUUGAAAGAGAAUGAAGAAGAGGUGGCCGGGUUCCAGUUUUCCGGCGGCUGGGGCACCUGCCGGCGGCCGGGGUGCGCACAUGGGUUGGACAGGGACCUGCUGAAAGUAGUUAGGGCACAGCUGGGGGACAAGGUCGGCCAGAUCUAGGGUUUCGUGCAAAGAAACCCUAGAUGCAAUUUAUAUAUAAGUGGACUUUUGCAGAUAAACACAAAAUAUUUAAACCUCAGCCCCUGCCAGGGCGUGCAAUAUGCACGUAAGCACCUCGACGUUCAAAAUCACGCGAAACGACGCAUGAAAUAUUAGGGUUUUCGCGAAGUUUCGGAUUUUGCCCAUUCAACCCCUUAGCGAACAUCUCGCAAUUUCAGAAGAUCCGUCCGUCGAAUUUUCGAUCAGAUUACGCCAUCACGUUUAGCACGACUGGGGCAUCGAAUCUAGCAUCUCAUUUCGUCCGAUUUGGUCUCCGAUUCGUGACCGAACCAACCCUCUUUGCUUCCACCAAUAACCACAUAUAUUUAUAUAUGUAAAACCAAUCAAACCCCUUUUUCUCGACAACCGUGCAUCAGAAUCCAAUUCCGUCAGUGCCAUUAGGUCCAGAAUAGUCGAGCUGUUCGAAACGGGCUACUGGAGUGCUAUGAUCGGAGUCCAAUGCGUACCAGAACACUUCUCUACUUGAAGGCUCCUCCGAAAAGCCGGAGUUACUAUUCACUUUAAGUCAUUGGUUCUGGUCACGUAACUUCUCCAUCUUAACUCGUUUUCUCCUGAAACUUUACGGGUGCUUAUGUAAUUAAAUUACACAUAUAAACAUCGCCAACAGAAAGUUUAGUUGCACUGUCAAAAUCUCAAUCCUUACAACGUCAAAACCUACGGCACCCUUGUCGCUGUCGCCGUCACUAUUCGUAGCCAUGUAUUCCGCCGUAUCGUGAUUUGUGUCAUUUCUGAGCCGGCAUCGAUGUAGGUGCGGGUGAAAUAAGAGAGAGGAGCACCGUGUUGACGUCGGCGCGGUGGACGAGGAGAAAGGAAAGAAAGUGGGAGGAGAAGGAGAGGAAGAAACGGGAUGGCGGAAGAAUAUGAACUGUAUGAAAAUAAAAACGAGCGUGAAAAAAAAGAGAGAAAAAGGAAUAAGAAUAUUUUGGUUAGUUUAUUAAAAAUCCGGAUCGAAUAUAAAAAAUUCAAAGGCACGGUCUACUUUUACAAAAGGGUUUAUUACACCAUUGGUUCCCAACUUUUACACCAUUUUUCACUUUGGUCCCUAACCUUUUGUUUUUGGCAAUCAAGUUCCCAAUCUUUUGAUUUUAUUUCAAUUAAGUCUCAACCGUUAGAAGAGUGUUAAAGUUGACAGAAAAUGCCACGUCAGCAUCAUGUCAGCGUCAUGGAGAGGCCACAUGUCAGCGCCAACUAAUUAUACAAUUUAAAUUUAAAUUUUAUAUUAUAAAUUUAAAUUUAAAAUUUAAAUUAUAUUUUGAAUUAAAUUAUAAAUUCAAAGCAAGAUUUUUUUAAUUAACAUUUUAAUUUUAAAUUUAAAUUUUGAUUUUGGAUUCACAUUUAAAUUCGAAUUCCAAAUUCUGAUUUUGUAUUUAAUUUUAAAUUCAAAUUCACAUUUUAAAUUCUAAUUCUAAUUUAUUUCAAACUUUGAUUUCGAAUUUCAAAUUCAAAAUGAGAAUUUGAAUUCGAAGUUUAAAUUAAAAUUUAGAAUUGAAAUCAAAUCUCAAAUUAAAAUUAAAAUUUGAAUUCAAAUUGAAAAUUUAAAAUCAAAACUUCGAAUUCGAUUUUAAAUUCAAAUUUAGAUUUUAUAUUUAAAUUUUAGUUUCAAAAUUUUGAUUUUAAAUGCAAAUUCAAAUAUCAAAAUCAAAAUAAAAAUUUUAAGUUUGAAUUAAAAAAAAAUUCAAAUUUAAGAUUCAAACUUAAAAUUUGAAUUUCAAUUCAAAAUUUUAAUUCAACUUUAAAUCAAAAUUGUAGCUUUAAAUUCAAAUUCAAAAUUUUAAUUUCUAGUUAGUUUGAAAUUUUAAUUUAAAUGUUAAUUUUGAAUUUAAUUUAAAAAUUUGAAUUUUUAUUCUUAGGGACUAAAGUGAAAACUGUGUAAAGUUUACAGACCAAAAUUGGUAUGCAAAAGAAUGCCGCGUAGACGCUAACAUGAAGGCGGUGAGUUAAUUAAAAUAAAAUCAAAAGGUUAGAGACUUGAUUGUCAAAAAAAAAAAAAAAAUGAAGAAGGGGUUGGAGAGCCAAGUGAAAAAUAAUGCAUAGGCCAGAGAUCAAUGGUGUAAUUAACCCUUUACAAAAUUACAAAACGGGUGAAAUUUGUUUAUACAAAUUGGCCUAAUUUUAUUUAGGAAAAGAAAGAACGGUUAUGCCUUUAGCCCCGAGCGUUUUUCCGCGCGUUUCUGCGGGCUCGCGGAGCGCCCCGGUCCGAAAGAUGAGAUGCGCUCCCGCGCGCCAGCUCUCGCGCCCGCCGCCGACCUCGCGCUACUCAUCGACCGCUCCCGAACCCUCCACCACCUCCGCCAAGUCCACGCCCGCAUCGUCACCUCCCCCGACCUCCCCCACUCCGCCUCCUCCUCCCUCCUCCUCCGCGUCCUCCUCUCCCCUCUCGCCCCCACCUCCUACGCUUCCGCCCUCCUCCUCCACCGCAUCCCCUCCCCCUCCCUCUCCCUCUCCCUCUCCCUCUCCCUCUCCAACUACAACGCCCUCAUCCGCUCCUCCUCCCCCCCUCUCCACCCCCUCUCCCUUUACUCUCGCAUGCUCUCCCAUGGCCUCCUCCCCGACCACCUCACCUUCCCCUUCCUCCUCAGGAGCUGCUCCCUCCGCCUCGACCUCCUCUCCGGCCGAUCCCUCCACCCCCACAUCCUCAAACUCGGCUUCCCGGCCGACGUCUUCGUCUGCAAUGCUUUGCUCUUUAUGUACGCCUCCUGCGGGCGCAUCGACUGUGCCUGCAAGGCGUUCGACGAAAUGCCUCACAGAGACGUGGUCUCCUGGAAUUCGAUUUUAUCCGGGUACUUGCGGUGCGGGGAGCUUGACUCGGCGCUGCGCCUGUUUUCAGAGAUGAGGGAGAGGAACGUCAGAACGUGGAAUGCGAUCAUUACGGGGUUUGUUCGGGGCGGGCGGGCGAGGGAGGCGUUGGAUUUGUUUCACGAGAUGCAGCUCUCGGGCGGCCCUUGCGCUAGGCCGGACAAGGUUACGGUUGCGAGCGUUAUCGCGGCGUGUUCUUCUUUGGGCGCGUUGGAUCAGGGGAGAUGGGUGCACGGCUAUUUGAAGAAGCAUAAACUGGAGUUUGAUGUCGUUGUCGGGACUGCUCUGAUAGACAUGUAUGGGAAAUGUGGGUGCAUGGAGAGAGCUAUUGCGGUGUUUGAUGAAAUGCCCAAGAAAGAUGUUUUGGCUUGGACAGCGAUGAUCUCGGCUUAUGCCGCGCAUGGCCUAGGAGAAGAGGCUUUUGGCCUCUUGAAGGACAUGGAGAGGAAUGGGUUGAAGUUCAACCAUGUGACCUUCGGUGCGCUUCUAAGUGCAUGCGCACACUCUGGCUUCGUUGAAAGAGGUCGCUGGUGCUUUGAUGUGAUGAAACGCGUUUACUCUAUUGAGCCGCAACCUCAGCAUUAUGCCUGCAUGGUCGACUUGCUGGGCCGAGCAGGGCUUUUCGGAGAAGCCGAACGGCUCAUACAAAGCAUGCCAAUGGAGCCGGAUGUGUAUGUUUGGGGGGCAUUACUUGGUGCUUGUCGAAUGCAUGGAAAUGUUGAAGCAGGAGAGCGAGCGGCAGCUCAACUCAUUGGUUUGGAUCCUCUCAAUCAUGCAUAUUAUAUUAUUCUUUCUGAUAUAUAUGCUAGGGCUAAUAGGUUUGAAGAUGUGAAAAAGGUUAGAGGUUUUAUGAAAGAGCGUGGGAUAAAGAAAACUGCACCUGGCUGCAGUAUGAUCGAAGUCGACGGUAAAGUUCUUGAGUUUUCUGCCAAAUGGGUGCUUGAGGACCUGAUAAAUGAGAUUGAAUGGGUGUUAAAUGCAAUAAAUUUUGAAUUGAAGUUCACUAAUAGGCUUUCUAAAGAAUAUGGGGAUCUAAUGGAGAAUACAUGAACUAUUAGGAUCCUCUGAAGCUGCUCGCAUUAAAAGGCUGUUCUUUUCCAACUAAUUUGUUUGGAUUUGGAACUCUUCAGCAUGUGGAUCUCGCUAAAACAAUGGUCGAGAGAGAGAGAGUCACUAAAGUCUCAAGUUCAGCAGGAUCCGGAUGUGGGUACAUCUUGUUACAUGGGUUUGUGUCUUUGUAUUAUGGUACAAGGUUUGCAGCUUCACUCUGAGGAUGUGAGACGACUUCCCUCUCACCCGCAGAGUAGGUAGUGUAGUGGGCUGCGCUUAUUAAAACAUGCCCUAAAUAAACAUGUAUGUAAAACACUGGGCACGGGGGAGGAUUGUGAGUCUAUUGUUGGAUGUAUCAGCUUAACAUUCUUUUUAAUCUGGAGUUUUGCAGAGAUUGCAAGAACUAUUGGGCAGUGGAAGUUUGCACAAAUCUUUUGAAAAUCUAUAUAUAUCUAUAAUAUGUAACUACAUAUUAAUUGUCAAUAAUUUGGCUAGCGUGGCGUAUCCUCUUUUUUGGGCACAUUUUUCUUCCUUCUUCUAGGUUGGGUGGGCCUGUACACCCCCUCUCUUCCUCUCUCGAGCCAUCCUUUGGAGAAUCCUUGCGCUGGAAGUUACGCAACUUUGGAAUAGAAGUAUUUUGUAUGUAAAGAACCUUUGGCAAGGUCGGAUUGAGCAUGAGACAACUUGGGAGCUAGAAAGCUCGAGGCUAGAUCAUUUUCCCUAUCUAUUCGAUGGGUCAGAGUGAUGCAAGGAUUUUGUAGUUUCGUGGAUGAGACUUUUUUGAAGGAGGGAGAAUUUAGUAUAUUAAACUUUAAAAAUUACUGAGAUACAGUGUAAAACUAGUGAAGGCCCGCGCUUCGCUGCGGAAAAUUUUUGUAAUUUUUAAAACCUCUCGAAUAGACUAUUUUUUAUUAUUCAAAAUUUAAAUUUAAAUUUAGAAUAAAAAAUAUUGAAGCUUAAAAUUUAAAUUUUAAUAUAUCAAAUUGAAAUUUCAAUAUUUGGAAUUUAAUAUUUAGAUUUUUCUAAUUCAAUUUAUAAUGUAAUAUAUAUUUAAAAUAUUGCAAUUUGAAAUUUUAAUAUAUAUAUAUAUAUAUAUAUAUAUAUAUAUAUAUAUUUUAGUAGAAAAUUCUAAUUGUUGUAUUUAAUUUAAAGUUUAAAUUUAAAUUUUUUAUUUUUUGUAUGUGAGUCACAAUACUAAAAAAAAUGUGAAAAGAAAAAAAAGAAGAGAGAGAGAAAUUAAUAUAUUCAGAGAUUAAUAUAUUCUAUCUCUCUCUCUAUAUAUAUAAAUUUGAAUAGAAAAGUUUAAUUGUUGUAUUUAAAUUUAAAGUUUAAAUUUAAAUUAUUUUUUUGUAUGUGAGUCACAAUACUAAAAAAAAAAAAUGGGAAAAAAAAGUUUACUCAUUGGUAAAAUGAACUUAGUUACUAUAAUAGAUAACAUGCUAGUUAUUAUUUAUAAAAUUAAACAUUAUUAGAGUAUGUUUUCUAUGCUUUCGAAAGCACAGAAGUUACGUAUUUGUAAGUUAUUUUCGAUAAUAAAACUUUCGAUUCGACGAUCAGUUUCAUUAGUGGGUCCCACAGAAAAAAGAUACAAAAAAAAUCCGCUCCGCACCGGCUCGCGCAUCUCCGCUCGCACAAUCCAUCAAAUAAGAGAUUCGAAUUAAAAUUAUAUUUAUAUUUAAAUUUUAAAAUUUUUGUAUGUGAGUUGCAAUACUACAUAAUAAAAACAAAAGUUAGAAAAGGAAAAAAAAAAGAGAGAGAGAGAGAAGUGGAAGUUAGAAAAAAGCAAAAAAAAGAGAGAGAAAGAGAGAGAGGAGUGGAUCCACAGGAUAAAAAAAUUACAAAAAAAUUAAAAUGAGAGAUAAAGAAAGAGAGGAGCUGAAGUUAGAAAAGGAGAGAGAGAGAGAGAGAGAGAGAGAGAGAGAGAGAGAGAGGAGUGGAAGUUAGAAAAGAAAAGAGAGAGGAGAGAGAUGAGAGAGAGAGGGGGGGGGGGAGUGGAUCAACAGGGAAAAAGCAAAAAAAGCAAAAAAAAAAAAAAUCCCGCCUCGCGCUAGUCUCCGCGCCUACGCGCCCGCGCCGCCCUACCGGCGCGCCGCUCGAGCCCCCGCCUGCUCGCCCGCGCCCUUGCAGCCCACCCGCUUUGCCCCGCGCCGCUGCGCCCUGCCUGCUCGCUCGCCCGAGCCCGCCGUGCCGGCUUCGCUCCCGCGACGCAACCCUCGGCUCGUGCCCGUUCGCGCGGCACCCACGCGCGCCCGCGCGCGCCCCGCAUCGGAGCCCGCCCGUGCCCUCGCUCGCUCCUCCGCCUCCCGCUGCGCCCGCCCCGCCUCCGCCUCCCGCCUCCGCUACCGCCCACCCGCUGGGAGAGAGGCAGAGAGAUUGUCACGCCCCGGGGUCCCCUUUUAGUUUGAAACACAGCGGAAAAGCGUUUAAAUUUUUUUUUUGAAAACCUGACCCCAGAGUAUGCCAGAUCCGCCACAAAUACAGGGAAUCCACUGUUCACACGGACAGAGUCUCCCCUGUAUUUGCACGGCGUCCCACAAGUACAAAAGUACAAACAGUAUACAACCACAACUAAAUGAAUACACAGAUAGCUCUACAUUCAUACAUUCACCAUUCACACCGUAGUUUUACAUUCGAUGUUUAAACGAAAGUCCACGAAAAACCUUUUAAAAACUGUUCCAUACGCGAAAACUUUUAUCUUUUAUAAAAGCUACCACGAGGGGUAAAAAACUUUUUAUUUUACCAAAUCCAGAAAUUCUUUUAUUACAUUCAUGAAAGUCCACAUAUUCCAAUGUAAUAAAAAUACUGAACCAUAUAAACUGACUAAGCUAUAACAACAGAAUAGUAGGGAUAAAACUAAACCGAUAAUCUGGGUCGGAAGCUCUAUCGACCGCUACGAACGUACCUCACGUCUCGUCCCAAAACUCAACGCCUGUAAUACCUGAAAAAUAGUGGGGGAGGUGAGAACAUGUAAACAUGUCUCCCCUCCCAGUGGGUACCGCAAGCCGAAGAAGGCGAGGAGUACUCACCGGAUCAGGAAGAGAUAAACAACAGUAUGGGUAAGUAAAAUACAGUAGCAACGAUAAUGAACGAAUGAGAUAUAUAUAUGAAAGCACAACUACCGCUACUGUAAUGUACAACUGCAAGCAUACAAGGAUAUCAAAACUAUAGUAGCAAGACAACUGUAAAGAAAGAACUAGAAGUAUAUAUGCAACAACCGCUACUAUAGCUAUAUGCGUCAACCGGACGAGAAGUCCAAACGUACCCAAUCUAAACCGCCGUGUCGGUCUAAGGACCUCAGGCAAAAGCCACUAUCUGCUCACACCUGGCAUGUAACCCUAGCACAAGAGAACACCGCUGGGCUCACGGGUCGGAUGUACGACCACUUUUCCGGAAAAGAACACCCUCCUGCGGGGGUAUCAACCCGCUGGUGUACGUGAAAUGCACUCGAGCUGUGGCGAUCAAUGCGGAUAUGAUCAAUAGCCAACCGUCGGCAAUCAGCCGACAAUCACUGCCCCUCUGGGCAUACUGACCGUGUAGGUCAUCAAGUAACAACGUGAACCGACCGAGAUAGGUCAAUGUACGGAAAGUAACGAACGACCAAACAGGUCACCGAUGCAAAUAGGAGAACCGACCAACCAGGUCAUAAGUAUAGUAUAUACGAAUGCCAUCUACUCUACCCCUAUACAGGAUACUACACAUAGAACAACCAGGCAGAGUAAAUAAAGAUAGUAUGUAGAUACUGCUCGAUGUCAACUAAAAGUACGAACGCAAGAACCGACCGAUAAGUCACAGGAGUGUAUUCGAUAUAGUCCAGAACUAUCGUCAGCACCAGCCGACAAUCCUACCCCUCAGGGUACACCGACCUCAAAGGUCAUCGACGACGGGACUCAUGAAGCUGACUGACUAGGUCACAAACAUACCAAACAGUAGAACUGAGUAAACUAUAAUAAUCCGUCGGCGUUAGCCGACAAUCCCGCCCCUUAGGGUAUACCGACCUCAAGGGUCAUCGAACGAAGUACGAGAACCACCCAACCAGGUCAACAGAUACUGAAUGCAACAACAAACCAACUAGGUCAACGGAUACUGAAUGCAACAACAGACCAACUAGGUCAACAGAUACGAAAUGCAACAACCAACCAACUAGAUCAACAGUUAUGCAUAUAUAAAGAGAACUGCUCUACUUCUACUCGGUAUACAAAGCAUACAAACAGCGAGUAGUGUUUAACGAAUAAAUAAGGGUGCAAGGCUCAAUAUACUAUGGAUAGUAACAACAGAAGAGUAAGGGUAAGAAACCAUCACCAAGCGUGCACCACUGUACCGACGUCGGAUCGAAGUACCCACCUGUAUAAAGCUGAAACGGUCUCGCGAAGGCGGAGACGAAGCGACCGGACCUACGAAGGGUCCACCGGGUUAGAGUCUAACCCAAAAACACAAUAACACGACUAUUCUCACACAAAUCCCAAAAUCAUAACCCCUCAGAAAUCGGUUUCUCAAACGCAACUACCGAACCAGCCGGAAGUCCCAGAAAUCGUACCGAAACUCCACCGUCGCUCACCCGUCAUUUCCGAACCCUCGAGAAGACGCGGGUGACUAGCCAACAAGGCUCAGCGACGCUACAAUCAACCACGAGGCAUCGUCGGAUGAAUUCCGAGUCGAAAACGCGUUCUAUCGGCGGAUUUCGCCGAAAACGCUUCGGAAAUGGCGAUUUGAUUUCCGCAAGGGCUUGGGGCCUUGGACGAUCAGU